This 69017-nucleotide long non-coding RNA is filed under the name Medicago truncatula (barrel medic). RNAcentral's name for it is "long non-coding RNA (MTRU_LNC005172)". The record is from RNAcentral. Lineage: Eukaryota; Viridiplantae; Streptophyta; Magnoliopsida; Fabales; Fabaceae.
AAUAAUAUUAUUAAAAUGCACAUUUUAAAAGAAUUAAAUUAACUUCUGUUUUCAUUGGUGACAUCUCCUAUCUUAAUUAAAUUUUAUCAUCCUUAAAAUUCUAUUUGUUACCGUCUUAAUUGGUAUCACAAGCCUUAUGACUGCUAAAUACAAACUACUGAAAACUUUUGAGUGCCAUUGAAGUUGAAGAAAAGAUAAAUGAGUUUAUGUUUCUUAAGGAUGAAUCUCUUACUUUGGAUCAUAAUCAAUUAAGGCAUAAGAACGUUAAGAUAUUCACGAGGGAUAUCCAUGAAGACAACGUCGAACCUGAAGAAUCGAAAGAUGAACGUUCAUGGAACUCUAAAGUGAUGGAUAUGAAUGAAGACGAAGUUUAACUAGAAAGUGAUGGUCUCGAGCACCAUGCGAGUGACCUUUCAGCAGCGAACACCAAUGGAGUGUCACAACCAGAAGAAUACUUUUCAUCACUUAAUUUGUAUCUGUUACUUACCACCAAAUGUAUCACAUCAAUCCAAUAUUCAGAAAUGUAUUUGUUUCCAAUGCCGCUAACCGUCCUCCAGCUGUUUGAUGAAAUGCCAAAGGGUCAUAUAGCUGUUUGGAAUGAACAAUGAGAUGGAAAAUGUUACUUUUGAUUUGUCUAAAUACCUAAUUUUGAUAUGUAUUGCUCCUGGAGUUUUUAAAUUUUGGAAGGCAUGAACAUGUUGUGGUAAAUUCUCCUGUCAUUAUAUCUUUAUUGAUGAACGGUAACUGUGCUCAAAGAGACGAAUCUCUUGGUGAAGGAGAUUUGGUUGUCCAUCAAUAUCAUUUCAUUAUCUUGCUUUUGGUAUGAACAUUCCCUUAAUUGGGGAAUGACAAAAUUGUUUGUAAAGACGGCGCUCACACUUUGAUGAAGUGGGUAUUGUCACUUCAACGGUGCAGGUGGAAGCACAAUCCUUCACUUUUUCCUAAUUCCCUAUAAUGGAUGCUUGAUCCUUAAGAUCACCACUUGUAAGCUCUGUUGCACCAGCACUUCUGAUUGAAGGCGUGUCCCAGUGUCCGACAAGUGUGGUGUCAGACACUGACAAUACACCGACACUUGUGAUUACAGUGAAUUAUGUCAUUAUCUCAAAAUUUGAUCGGUGUUGACGUGUCCGUGUUAGUGUCGUUUCCGGUGUCUGUGUCCAUGCUUCAUAGCUUGUAAGGAAUUACAACUCCAUUCUCCACCAUGCAGGUAUGUUAUGGGCUUUCAGUUUUGUGCACCUAAUGAUACUUCCCUCAAAUCUAUUGCUUACACCAAUUAUGACCAUGAUAUUGAGACCCAUUGUCAUAUUGCUGCCCAACUUCUCUGUUUUUGGUGGUGGAAGGGAUUAAUGCCAAUACACUUUUCACUUUCUCUACGAAUGUUGGAACAAUACUUGUGGAAGAAGUCUUGUCUGCAUCUAUGAAAAAAUUUGUUGGAAACAUGGUUGCUGUGUUAAUGCAUCUUGAGUUUUAUUCCUUGACGAGGCGGGAUCUGAAUAUAAAAUGUAUUCUCCAGUAUCAUGAAGACACUAUGACGUUUAUUUCAGAUUUAAAGGCUUUGAAAUUCUUAUCUGAAAGUUCUGCCAGGAUAAUUAAAGAUGCUUUUAGAACCAUGUGGCUCAAAAAUUGGCAAAAUCCAAAUGCAUGUUCCAUUAAUCUUGUGUUGAGCAUUGGUUUUAUCAUUUUAGCCACAAGUAAUGGAAAACAAAAACCUUGUUACAUGCUACAAAAUGGAUCAGAUUCACACAUCUCUACUAUUUUGAAACUGCACUGUUGUGAGGCACUGCCAAUCUCCAUUGGAAUCACACCAGACCAACCUGCCUGUGCUGAAGUUCAAAGUGUAGGUUCUAUUGCUGAUGUUGCACUAAAUUUUAACAUGCUGGUGAAAAAUUAUGGACUUGUGAUGCUUGGGAAUAAAAUUUUAUGCAUAGUUGAUAAGUUUGACCAUGAUGGAUAUAUGGAUGUGGCAGAAAGAGUAAUUCAAAUUUAUGUAAAAUGGUCAAAUAUAUGUGCAGCAGCCCCCUUUAACUGAGGGAUAUUUGCUAAUCUUUCAAGAAACAAAGUUGGUAGCUGUGUUACAUAGGAAAAUGGUUGAUAGGGGAACUAUUGUUGUUUCUCAAAUUAUGUUCAAAUGGAGGAAUUUGCCUCCUAAACAUGGUACUUGAAGUUUGCUGCUAAUAUUGACCCUGUUAUGGCUAUUCUACAUCGGAAAAUGAUCAAUUGGGGAAGUGUCUCUGCUCUUAAAGUUCUAAUCAAAUGGAAAACUUUGCCUCUUAAACAUGGCACUUGUGAUUAUUCAUCCUUGAGGACGAGGAUGUUUGAAGGGGAGGGUAUUGUUACAGGAAUGAAGUAUUAGUAAACAAGUAUUAGUGAGUUAACUUAUUCUAAGUAUUUGUUUUACUCUAAAUCAUUUACUCUUUUAGCCUUGAUGGUUGUAUUUAAGAAGGCAUUGGGCCUCAUUUGGUAAUCAAUCAAAUAUUUCAACAAUUAUCUUCUUCUCUCUAAAACCCUAAAACUCAUUCAAUACUAUUCUCAUAUGAUUUCUCUUAUGUAUCGAAUUCUAUUCUAAAUCAUUAGAAUUCAUACACUUGAGACUUGAAAUUUUUAGUUUCAGGGAUCAAUUUAGAAGUAUGAGUAUCAUGUUGAAUGGAAAAUUUGAAAUUAAUCAUUGCAUUCGUUGGUAUCGUAUGAAGUCGUCUAUGAAGAUUAUGAUGUUUUCAAUUUUCAGGCUUAUUCUAUGCAUCCCGAUAACUUAAUCUUAUAUGUGCAUAUACUGAAUUAUUGAAGUGUCCAAGAAAAUAGAACGACUGAAGGAGAAAAGAUGAAGAGCUUGUCCGAGUCUUUAGCACAAACAGAAUUUCUGAAGAUAUUUAGUGGUUGGUUUAUUGCAUUUGAAAGUUUUUCAGGUUAUUUCUUUGUUUACCCUUUGAAUCUCUAUGAUAUUACUGAAUAAUAAUUGUAGUCUCGUUCAUCUACUCAAAAUAGAUGCAAACUUGAAUACGUAAAAGUAUAUGCAAAAUCAGAAGAAAAGAGUUUAAUGAAAAAAAGCUUUCAUGUAUCUAUUAAAUUAUCUACUCAAUCAUGAUUUCACUUUUCAGAUAACAAACUCUCUUAAAUCAAUUUUAACAAAAUCUAACACAAUACAAAAUCCAAACGGACCAAUUAAGCACCAAUUUCAUGUGCCUUUUGAAAUCAACGACCACCAGAGAGAACAGAUUCAGCAAUAGACACAGAAGUAUAUGGCACUGUCUUGUCCUCAACAAGUUCUUGGUGCCCAAAAGUUAAUCCAUAGGAAGAUAAACUAAGCAAUGACAAAUCUGGUAAAGGUAAAUCCCUCUCCAAAUACUGCACAACUUGUCUCAUACUUGGUCUAGCCAAAGGCUCUGAAUGUGAACACAUCAAGCCAAGUUUCAACACCAAUUCCACCUCUUCAGACACAUAAUUUGUUCCUAAAUAUACAUCUUUAGCCUCAAGAAUUUCACCUCUUUUCAAACAUUCAAACACAUGAUCAACUAGAACUAGACUCUCAUUCUCUCCUACACGACCUAUAGGCCUCCUACCACAAACAACCUCAAGAAGAAAUGCACCAAAAGAAAACACAUCAGAAAAUUUAGUAGCCUUACCUGUUCUAAUAUGAUCAGGAGCAAGAUAACCAAAAGUUCCAACCAAAUGAGUAGUGUGAGGAUCAGCACCAUGAUCAUACAACCUUGAAAGACCAAAAUCUCCCAAUCUAGCAUUAAAUUCAGAAUCUAACAACACAUUACUAGCUUUUAUGUCUCUAUGGAUAACAACUUUCUCCCAUUCUUCGUGAAGAUAAACCACAGCUGAAGCAACACCUUUGAUGAUUCUAAAUCUUUGACUCCAACUCAACCUCACUUUUGGUUGGUUGUAUAGAUAGUUGUCUAAACUUCCAUUCGGCAUGUAAUCAUAAACCAAAAGUAACUCGCUUUUUCGCCUGCAAUAGCCAUAAAGUUGAACAAGAUUCCUGUGCCGAAGACGACCGAUACUAACAAUUUCCGACACAAAUUCCCUCAUCCCUUGUCUUGAUUCAUGAGACACCCUUUUCACAGCAACCUCAAGUUUGGAACUUGGCAUCACACCUUUGUAUACUCUACCAAAUCCACCAACUCCCAAUAGCCCCUUUUCCCUGAAACCCUUUGUGGCAAAGUAUAGAUCUUUGAACUUAAAUCUAUGUGGGCCAUAUUCUUGUUCCCAAUCUUCAAGAAUCUCAGAAAACUUCUUCCGUUUGAUAUAAUAAAUAACCCCUAAAGUUAUCAUGAAUACCAAACUUAGGAAAAUUAAAGGCAACCCAACAGUUGAAAUUUUUGACUUUUUUUUAUAAGGAAAUUGAGAGAUUACAAGGUUUUGAGCUUGACCAUUAACCUUAAAACUCCAACCAAGAAUAUAAUGAGAAGCUGCAAGUAACCCUGUUGAAGAUGAGAAUCCAACAUACAUACUAUUGUUAAGAAUUGGAGAAAGAUCUUUGGUCAUUGAUAACGAAGGUCCUGUUGGUUUAACAACAUAAACUGGAGCUAAAGUAACAUCAAUCUUUUUCUUCACUCCAUCAUAAUCAAUCCAUACCUGUAUAGGAUUUCCACUGGAAAGGUCUACUGUUCUGAUUUGACCAUGAUCAUCGUAAUAGGCUGCAGUAGUUGAGACAACUGAUUUCAGAUCAUUGAUAUUAAUACCAUCGUGGUUAUUGUCAACAUCACCAAACUCAAAAUCUUUAGAAGUGUCAAGUUCAACACCAAAAACAUGGUUGCCACUGUUUCCAUUGUUGGAAUCAUUAAAGAGACCAAGGUAUUGAUUUGGUAGUGAAUUUGGUAGCCCUUUUGUUGGAGAAAGAACAAAAACAAUUCCAUGGCCAGUAAAAGGUGGAUAUUGAGGUAUUAUGGCAAAUACAAAAGUAGUUGAGAAAGAAGACACACUUUCACUGGAAGUGUUUUUGAAAACUAUUGGAUUUGGAUAGAAAGCAUGACCUAUUACUUGUUCUGUAUCAUUGGUGAGUCUUAGUAUGCCAUCUGAGGUUAACUCAGCAAAACCAUCAAGAUAUAAAUGUGAUGAUUGGAAUCCAUUAUAGAUGAAACUGUUAUCUUCACUUGCUACUAAUGUAACAUGAAAAAACAACAUAAACACAAGUUUGAGGAACAUGAUUAUAGUUUGAGAAUGAAUAAUGCUUGUGUAGUUCUGUUCGGUGUUUAUUAUUUAUAAGAUUUUGUCCUAAGUGAAGAAAAAAUUGCAAGUCUAAUUUGGGUCCUAGUAAGAAAUGUCCUGGAACAUAACUUAGCUACGAAUCAUUUCUAAAAGAAACAUCACAUGACAUGGUUACUAAAAUUGCCUUUAUCAUCUGUGAGUCCUACUAAGAAAUAUCUCAUUUAGUUUAGUAAAAAUGAAUGUGUUACACAUUUGAACCACAAAUUUUCUUUCCAAUUGUAGUAGUGGGUAAAUGUUUUUCAAUGUUUACAUAUUAAGUGUUUGAUGCUAAAUUGAAUAUGUGAAAUCAAGACAUCAGUGUUGUCUAAUAUUCCAGCUCAAAUUAGAACAGACUUUUUUAGAAAUAGGAUGGAUUUACCUUAUUUUAGAUUUUGCUGAGUUUCUUAAAUUCCCUCUUUUGUUUGUAUUUUGGUUUUUUCUAAUAUAUUUUAUGGAGCUUGCUUCCCUGGCAAGUUUCCUUUGUUUAAAAAAAGAAGCUUAUUUUGUGCUAAAACUUUAAAAAACUGUCAUUUGGUCUAUAUAUCUAAUCUAUCUAUAUAAUCUUAAUUGCCUGAAUUUUGGUUAGCCCUUCCAGCCAUAACAUCCAUUUAUUUAUUUUUUUUGUAUGAAAGUGCACUUGAAAGGAGAGGAAUUUUUAACGUGAGAGAUGAGAGCAAUCAAUAACAGCCGUUAGAUUAACAUUAACUCUUCAGAUAAUUUUUUUGUUUAAUUUCAACAUCCCUCCUAUGUUGUCUCACCCACGCGCUCAUUCUGCUUCUCUCUGCACUCUUGGUUUCACGUCCCGUCUCCUCUGAUUUCGUUUAGCAAUGGAAAUAUGGAAUGAAAAUUACUCUAAAAAUUAACAUAAGAAAUUAAUUGUUGCCUGUCUCCUCUGACGAACACGAAUUUUCUAUGAACCUUCUGUUUCAAGUUGAAACAGUAACAAUAUAACAAUGAUAAGCACUUUCCUUCACCGCCAGAGGUGCAUUGGUGCCGCUCAGAUUGAGCAAUCUGCAAUUUUGAUGCCAUUCAAAGGCAAUUUGGAUUCAAAUGCGAACCAGAGUCAAAUCCUCAACAACCUUUCCUUGCCAUAAGCAGGGCUUCAAGAACUUUACAUCUUCAAUGCCGCAAAUGCAAUUUACUCUCAAAUUGGUAAAGGUAUUCUUUACCUAGGGCUUUGGUCAGUUUACUCUCAAAUUGUUUCAAACAAACUAAUGUGGUUGAAUUAUUUAAUUUCAGGGAUCAUUUAAGAAGUAUGAGUAUUAUGAUAAAUGGAAAAUUUGAAAUUCGUCACUGCAUUUGGGCUCAUUCUAGGCAUCCUGAUAACUUAAUCUUAUAUGUGCAUAUGCAGAAUUACUGAAGUAUCCAAUAAAAUAAAACGAGUGGAGGAGAAAAGAUGAAGCAUUUGAAGUUAUCUAGUGGUUGGCUUAUUGCAUUUGAAGGUUAUUUCUUUGUUUACCUUUUGAAUUUACUGAAUAAUAACUGUAGUCUCGUUCAUCUACUCAAAAUAGAUACAAACUUGGACGCAAUAAAGUAUAUACAAAAUCAAAACAAAAAAAGUUUAAUGAGAAAAUGCUUUCAUGUAACUGGGGAUGAAAAUGGGCUAGGCAGGUCCGGGCUUUGUAAGGCCUAAGCCUUGCCUACUUCAAAAAUUAUAAGCCUGGGCCUGACCUAUUACCCAUCAUAGGCUCAUUUUCAAGGCUUGGCCUGGUCUUUUUAAAGGUCUAAUGAAGCCUGGAAGUCUAUUUUACACUAAGGCCUAGCAACACCUCUAAGCCUACUACGAAAUAGGCCAAAACUUAUGAAGGCCUAACGCACACGAAUAGGUCUACUACUAAAUAACGAAAUCUUACAAGGUCUAAUCACACCAAUAUAUCUGCUACUAAAUAACCAAAUUGUAUGAAGGCUUGAGUAUGAAGAAAAAAAACUUCAACAAUAUCAAUAAUGGAAGAUAUAUUAUAUAUUAAAAGCUUAAUAGACUUUUUUCUAAGCCUUAGUCUGACCUAUUUAAUUAAAUGAGCUUUAUUAAAAGCUUGAGCCUGACCUUUACAUUAAAUGAGCUAGGCCGUGCUUGGCCGAACUAUGCUUUAAAUAGGCUAGGCCGUAGGUCCCUGUCGGAUGACCUGGCCUAUUCUCAGCCCUACAUGUAACUAUUAAACUAUUUUCUCAAACAUGAUUUCACUUUUCAGAUAACAAACUCUCUUUAAUCCAUUUUACCAAAAUCUAACACAUUACAAAAUCAAACCAAAUCAAUCAAGCAUCAAUUUCACGUGCCUUUUGAAAUCAACGACCACCAGAGAGAACAGACUCAGCAAUAGACACAGAAGUAUAUGGCAUUGUCUUGUCUUCAACACAUUCUUGGUACCCAAAAGUUAAACCAGAAGAAGAUAAACUAAGCGAAGACAAAUCUGGCAAAGCUAUAUCCCUCUCCAAAUACUGCACAACUUGUCUCAUACUUGGUCUAACCAGAGGCUCUGAAUGCAAACACAACAAGCCAAGUUUCAACACCAAUUCAACCUCUUCAGACACAUAAUUUGUUCCUAAAUAUACAUCUUUUGCCUCAAGAAUUUCACCUCUUUUCCAACAUUCAAACACAUAAUCAACUAGAAUUAGACUCUCAUUUUCUCCCACACGACCUAUAGGCCUCCGACCACAAACAACCUCAAGAAGAAAUGCACCAAAAGAAAACACAUCAGAAAAUUUAGUAGCCUUACCUGUUCUAAUAUGCUCAGGGGCAAGAUAACCAAUAGUUCCAACCAAAUGAGUUGUGUGAGGAUCUGCACCAUGGUCAUACAACCUUGAAAGACCAAAAUCUCCCAACCUAGCAUUAAAUUCAGAAUCUAACAACACAUUACUAGCCUUUAUGUCUCGAUGAAUUACAACUUUCUCCCAUUCUUCGUGUAGAUAAACCACACCUGACGCAACACCUUUGAUGAUUCUAAAUCUUUGACUCCAAUUCAACCUCACUUUUGGUUGCUUGUAUAGAUAGUUGUCUAAACUUCCAUUUGGCAUGUAAUCAUAAACCAAAAGUAACUCCCUUUUUCGCCUGCAAUAGCCAUGAAGUUGAACAAGAUUCCUGUGUCGAAGACGACCGAUACUGACAAUUUCCGACACAAAUUCCCUCAUCCCUUGUCUUGAUUCAUUAGACACCCUUUUCACAGCAACCUCAAGUUUGGAACUUUGUAUCACACCUUUGUAGACUCUACCAAAUCCACCAACUCCUAGUAGACCCUUUUCCCCGAAACCUUUUGUAGCAAAAUAUAGAUCUUUGAACUUAAAUCUAUGUGGACCAUAUUCCUGUUCCCAAUCUUCAAGAAUCUCAGCAAACUUCUUCCAUUUGAUAUAAUACAUAAUCCCUAAGGUUAUCAUGAAUAACAAACUUAGCAAACUCAAAGGCAACCCAACAGUUAAAAUUUUUGACUUUUUUUUAUCGUCAAGUAUUCUUAGCUCAGGAGCAAAUGUUCUUAGCUCAGGAAGUUUAGAGAUAUCAAGGUUUUGAGCUUGACCAUUAACCUUAAAACUCCAACCAAGAACAUAAUGAGAAGAUAGAAUAGAACCUGUUGAAGAUGAGAAUCCAACAUACAUACUAGUGUUAAGAAUUGGAGAAAGAUCUUUGGUGAAUGAUAACAAAGGUCGUGUUGGUUUAACAACAUUAAAACCAACAUUAAUUGGAGCUAAAGUAGCAUCAAUCUUUUUCUUUUCACCAUCAUAUUCAAUCCAUACAUGCAUAGGAUAGCCACUGAAAAGGCUCAUAUUCUUGAAUUGACCAUUACUAUCAUAAUAUCCUGCAGGAGUUGAAUUAGCUGAUUUCAAAUCAUUGAUAUCAAUACCAAUAUGGUUAUCAUUGAUAUCAUCAAACUCACUACUUAGAAGAGUAUCUAGUUCAACACCGAAAACAUGGUUACUACUGUUUCCAUUGUUGGAUUGGUUAAAGAGACCAAGAUAUUGACUUGCUUUUGAAUUUGGCAGCCCUUUUGUAGGUGAAACAACAAAUACAAUUCCAUGGGAACUAAGAGUUGGAUAUUGAGGUCUUAUGGCAAAUACAAAAGUAGUUGAGAAAGAAGAUACACUUUCACUGAUAGUGUUUUUGAAAACUACAGGAUUUGGAUAGAAAGCAUGUCCUUUUUCAUGUUCUGUAUCAUUGGUGAGUCUUAGUAAGCCAUCUGGGGUUAACUCAGCAAUACCAUCAAGAUAUAAAUGUGAUGAUUGGAAACCAUUAUAGAUGAAACUGUUAUCUUUACUUGCUACUAAUGUAACAAGAAAAAACAACAUAAACACAAGCUUGAGGAACAUGAUUAUAGUUUGUGAAUGAAUAAUGCUUCUGUAGUUCUGCUGUUCAAUGUUUAUUAUUUAUAAGAUUUUUUCUAAGUGAAGAAAAAAUUACAAGUGUGCAUUUGUGUUACACAUGGUGUAACAUAACUUAGCUACGAAUUAUUACUUAAAGAAACAUCACAUGACAUGGUUACUAAAAUUUUCCUUUAUCAUCUGAGUCCAACUAAGAAAUGUCUCAUUUAGUUUAGUAAAAAUGAAUGUGUUACACAUUUGAAUAAAUGUGCACAUUUGAACCACAUUUUCUUUCCAUCUGUAGUAGCGGGGGAAUGUUUUUCAACGUUUACAUAUUAAGUGUUCGAUGCUAAAUUGAAUAUGUGAAAUUAAAUCAUCAAAGUCGUCUAUUAUCUUAAAAGAAGUAUAGUGUUUUUUUUUUUUUUUUAAGUUCACACUUGAAUAUGUGCACUUUAGCAGUUACUAUUGAUUUUGCUGCAAAUAAAAUGAUUAAUGAAUACGUGGUUGAAGGAUAAAAGAUAUAUGUUGGUUUUGACUCAAAAUUUCAUAUUUUUCUUUAUGGAAAAAUGUCGGGCAAUUUCGAGCCGCCUGUUCCAUCGAUCACAUGUGUUGUCAAAUCACGGGGUUAUGGAGGCAAAUCGCAGGGUAAUUUGUUCAGGAUUGAUAGCUAUAAAAUGCAGUUUUUCACUCAUUUGUUGAACAAUCUUUCUACUCCAAAAGAGCUAGAGAACUUAUAGGGUGAGAGUUAAGUGUUUUUGGGUGAUAUUCUUAGGUUGGAAAACAAUUUGUAAACAUCUUGGAUAAUGAGAUCUUGAAAGACCAAAAACUUUUUAUCGUUUUCUCUUUGGAUCUUUAUCUAGGUUUGAGUGAUAAAGCGGUGGAGAAGAAAUGAAGAAGAACCAGAAAUUAUGUUAUUAAGUUACUUUUUAAGGUUACUCUAAACCUCUAAAUUCCUUAAAAAUUCUCUCCUUUAGAGUAGAAAGAUUGAUCAAUAAAUAUGUCGAAAUAUGCAUUUUACAUAGCAAAAGCAAAGCUUUGUCAUCACCUUCAAUUCUGAUUCAAUGUUCUCCAGUCAAAAGUAUCUUGUAAAAUUCUGUCAAUUUCUCUAUGAUAGGUUUGUUCUCCACCAUCCUAAUUGAGUAGGGUUGUUGUUUCAAAAACUAUAUAUAAGUCAAAGACUUUGUCGUGUAUAAUGCCUCCAACUUUGUCCACAUAGUUGUUGUCGUCGCUUCCUUCGUGACAUCCUUUAAUAUAUCUUUGAUACAUAAAAUAAUGUUUUUUUGCUUUGUCUAUCAUCUAUAUAUUCUCUGCAUGUGUCAAGUUUGUUGAUAUCCACACUUCACCCUUCAAUGCUUUUGCACAUUUCAGUUGUGCCAAAACUGAUUGCAUCUUUAUCUUCCACAGCCCAAAAUCACUGCUUACAUCGAACUUCUUGAUGUUUCAUUUUGAACCAAAAGUGCUCGCUUGAGCAAUUACCCAUUCACCGCACCUUGGGCGCAAAUAUUGUAAAUUCGAAAAUGUAAUCACACCAAUAAACUUAAAUGUGUUAGGAUAAAUAUCAAUGGCAACCAAAACCAAUGUAGUCUCAAGCAGCAGCAGCAACACCAACAACAGUAACAUACCUAGUUACUAAGCAAAGUAAACCCACAAUAAUCAAAGCAUGAAUGUAGAUCUGAGAGAAGCUCAGAAUGACCUAUGUUUGGGGAAGAGAGAAACUCUCCAAUCCAAUAUGAAAUGAUUGAUACAAAGAAACAGCCUCUAAUUUUUACCCAUUUUUUCAAGUCAUAGUUUCUACGAUGGGAGUUGUUAUGUGGCUUUUUCUCACAUGCCCACACCACCUAAAAUGAGCUUACCAUAUUUUCUACAAUGGGAGUUAUCUCAACUUUUUCUCUAUGUUUAUUUAGUUCAGGGUUAAAAACUAUGUAAUGGACUAAUUGUAAAACCUAACUUUCUUUUUUAGGUGCUGCACUGUCUGUAAAGAGAAGUGACAUAUUGGCUCUUGCUAUAGGUAUGAUGAACUCUUUGAUCCUCCACAAUCAAUGAUUGGUUUAUUGUGUCAUUCACGGGUGAUAAUUCUGCAUGUCACAAUCAAUGUUGGAAUAAAAUGAUUUGUUUAAAUCGAGCAGAACUUCUGUUUCAUGAAUGGUGUGUUCAUCAACUGGUAACAGUUAUUGCAACUAUAGAAGAAAGGCUUAAGUGGGCUGUGGGUUUUCCUACUAUAGGUGUUUUAAUUGUUUUACAUGCACUAAGGCAUUCUUUAGAGCCAACUGCAUUUCAGAUAUGGCUCAAUAAAUGUUAUAUUUCAUUUAGAGUGAAUCACCAUUUAAGUCUAUAAAAUUACAGGGGUUGAAAUUUGUAAUGUUAGUCCUUUUGGGUCGGUCGAUAUAGUCCUUGAAAUUGUCUUGAAGAGACUAAUGUGAUUGAAAAUUUUCAAUUUCAAUGAUCAUUUUAGAAUAUGUUAAUUUUAGGGGCUAAAUUGCACGAUGUCGUGACCAAUACUAUUUUUAGACUGAAAUAGGUUAUUCGCUCUUUCGUUUUAUGUUAUAUGAUGUGCCUGUGCUAGGUGGUACUUACCUAAAAAUUCUUGAUGGCUACAUUAGUUAAUAUGUUGAUGCUAUCUGAUGAAUGGAAAAUUUAAAUUUUAUCACUGUAUUUGUUGGUCGAGGGUUGAGUACCUCAACUGGUUUCAGCUAAGGGUUAAGGAGUUGGAGGUCCUCGGUUCAAUUUUUGCUAACUUAGACGUUGUCCAUGACAGUGAUUAUAAUUAUGUGUUGAUAACUUAUCCUGCCAAGCCCUGUAUAUUAAACAUUGAUUAGUUGCUCAAUAUUAUAGGUGGAUGUCUAGAAGUACUAGCCCAAAAAAAUAGAAAGAGUGAAGAAGAAAAGCUAAAGAACUUUGCCGAGGCUUUAUGGAAAAACCUUAAGAUGUAUUUAGAUGAUUUCCUAGAAAAUACAGAAGCAAAUAUAUGUCCAGUUAUCGAUGCUCGUAUUUGCAGGAUUCUGUAAAUCGAACCAUCUUCUGCUGUUGUAGGUUCAGGUUGAAGUUGCUUGUAGUGCAACUUCAAGCAAUGAUAUCCAUUAUCACGUACAUAGCAUUUCUAAGGCAUAUUAUGACUUGUAAGUGGUGACUAUGGUGAAGCAUCAGAUAGAUUUUUCAUGGUGUUGAAAAUAUUAGUACUUUAAUCAAUGAAUUAAAAUUCCAAUAAGAGAAAGAGACUACAAUUACACUAUAAUGAAACUCCUUGUAUCUAUUAGGAGAAAGAGACUAAAUUAAAACUCAAACAUUACAUAAAACUCAUGUAUAUAUCUAUUACACUAUUAACUCAAAUAUGAUUUUCCAUUUGAUUUAACAAAUCUUUUUAAUCCACAACCAAAAUCUAACGACCACCAGAGAGAAGUGAAUCAGAAAUAGAAACAGAAGUAUGUGACAUUGUCUUGUCCAUGGAAGAAGGAUACGACAAAGGAAAGUCCUCAAAAUAUUCUUGGUACCCAAAAGUUAAUCCAGAAGAAGAUAAACUAAGCGAAGGCAAAUCUGGCAAAGGUAUAUCCCGCUCCAAAUACUGCACAACUUGUCUCAUACCUGGUCUAGCCAAAGGUUCUGAAUGUGAACACAACAAACCAAGUUUCAACACCAACUCAACCUCUUCAGACACAUAAUUUGUCCCCAAAUUUACAUCUUUUGCCUCAAGAAUAUCACCUCUUUUCCAACACUCAAAUACACAAUCAACCAAAAUUACACUUUCAUUUUCCCCAACAUUAGAAAUAGGCCUUCUACCACAAGCAACCUCAAGAAGAAAUGCACCAAAAGAAAACAUAUCAGAAAAUUUAGUGGCCUUACCUGUUCUAAUAUGUUCAGGAGCAAGAUAACCAAUUGUUCCAGCCAAAUGAGUUGUGUGAGGAUCUGCACCAUGGUCAUACAACCUUGAAAGACCAAAAUCUCCCAAUCUAGCAUUAAAUUCAGAAUCUAAUAACACAUUACUAGCUUUUAUGUCUCUAUGGAUAACAACUUUCUCCCAUUCUUCAUGAAGAUAAACCACACCUGAAGCAACACCUUUGAUGAUUCUAUAUCUUUGACUCCAAUUCAACCUUACUUUUGGUUGGUUAUAUAGAUAGUUGUCUAAACUUCCAUUCGGCAUGUAAUCAUAAACCAAAAGUAACUCGCUUUUUCGCCUGCAAUAGCCAUGAAGAUGAACAAGAUUCCUGUGCCGAAGACGACCGAUACUAACAAUUUCCGACACAAAUUCCCUCAUCCCUUGUCUUGACUCGUGUGACACCCUUUUCACAGCAACCUCAAGUUUGGAACUCGGUAUCACACCUUUGUAGACUCUACCAAAUCCACCAACUCCCAGUAGCCCUUUUUCCCUGAACCCCUUUGUGGCAAAGUAUAGAUCUUUGAACUUAAAUCUAUGUGGGCCAUAUUCAUGUUCCCAAUCUUCAAGAAUCUCAGCAAACAUCUUCCGUUUGAUAUAAUAUAUAACCCCUAAAGUUAUCAUGAAUAGCAAACUUAGCAAAAUCAAAGGCAACCCAACAGUUAAAAAUUUAGACUUUUUUACCUCAGCAAAUACUGUUAGCUUAGGAAGUUCAGAUAUUUCAAGGUUUUGAGCUUGGCCAUUAACCUUAAAACUCCACCCAAGAAUAUAAUGAGAAGCUACAAGUAACCCUGUUGAAGAUGAGAAUCCAACAUACAUUCUAUUGUUGAGAAUUGAAGAAAGAUCUUUGGUCAAUGAUAACAAAGGUUGUGUUGGUUUAUUACUAGCACCAACACUCAUUGGAGCUAAAGUAACAUCAAUCUUUUUCUUCACUCCAUCAUAGUCAAUCCAUACCUGUAUAGGAAAUCCAUUGGAAAGGGAUAACUCCCUGAAUUGACCAUGAUCAUUAUAAUAUCCUGCAGGAGUUGAAUUAGCUGAUUUCAAAUAAUUGAUAUCGAUACCAACAUGGUUAUCAUUGAUAUCAUCAAACUGCAAAUCUUGACGAGUGUCAAGCUCAACACCAAAAACAUGGUUGUUACUGUUUCCAUUGUUGGAAUCGUUAAAGAGACCAAGGUAUUGACUUGGUAGUGAAUUUGGUAGCCCUUUUGUAGGAGAAAGAACAAAAACAAUUCCUUGGCCACUAAAAGGUGGAUAUUGAGGUCUUAUUGCAAACACAAAAGUAGUUGAGAAAGAAGACACACUUUCAUUGGAAGUGUUUUUGAAAACUAUAGGAUUUGGAUAGAAAGCAUAUCCUUUGGCUCUUUCUGUAUCAUUGGUGAGUUUUAGUAAGCCAUUUGAGGUUAACUCAGCAAUACCAUCAAGAUUUAAAUGUGAUGAUUGGAAUCCAUUAUAUAUGAAACUGUUGUCUACACUUGCUACCAAUGUAACGAGAAAAAACAACAUGAACACAUGUUUGAGGAACAUGAUUAUUAGUUUGUGAAUGAACAAUGCUUCUGUAGUUCUGUUUGAUGUUUUGUUAUUUAUAAGAUUUUGUGCUAAGUGAAGGAAAAAUUGCAUGUCUAAUUUGGGUCCUAGGUACUAAGAAAUGUCCUGGAACUUAGCUAGGAAUUAUUAUUACUAAAAGAAACAUCACAUGGUUACAAAAUUAGCCUUAUCAUUUGAGUCCUACCAAGAAAGGAAAAUACUUGGGUGUCUUUGGCUUUGGUGUCUUUAAAUUUCUUUAGUUCAUUUUCUACGAGAGAGAAUGAUGGAUCAAUGAUUAAAAUAAAUUAUUAGAUUAGAGAGAAUGAAUGGUUAAGAGGGAAAUAGGAACAAAGGCACCAAUGACACAAAAAUCAAAGCAACCUAAGUGCAACCCACUAAGAUAUGUCUCAUUUUGUCUAUUGAAAAGAAUGUGUUACACAUUUGAACCACCAAUUUUCUUUCCAAAUGUUUUUCAAUGUUCACAUUAUUAAGUGUUUGAUGCUAAAUUGAAUAUGAAAUUAAAACAUCAGUGUCAUCUAAUUUCUUAAAAUAAGUAUUCCUUCCGAAAUAUUUUUGUUUUUUAUUCAUUGAAUAUCUAAUGUAUUUGGACAAAUACAUUACACAUUCAAUAAAUUUAGAAAGUAAUUUUUUAUUUAUAAAUGUGACUGGAGGGAGUAUAUGUUUUUUUUUUUUUAAUUUCACACUUGAAUGUGUGGCCUUGACCUAUUACUAUUGAUUAUGCUGCAAAUAAAAUGAUGAAUUAAUACGUGGUGGAAGGAUAAAAAGAUAUAAGUGGGUUUUGACUCAAUUUCAUACUCACUCUAUCCCUAAAUAUAAGAUUAUUUUAAAAAAAUUGUUUGUCCUUAAAUAUUAAGACUAAAUAAAUUUCUUCAAAAAAAAAAAAAAAGACUCAAUAAAUUAUUAGAUGUAUUUAUUACUUUUUUCUCCAAUAUACCCAAUAUUAAUACUACUCCCUCCGUUUUUAAAUAUAAACAAAAUUGAUUUGUAAGGUUCAUUCAUUUAUGGACCACACAGUCACACAGUUAGGGAUUGUAACAUUGAAUGAACUCUAGGUAAUUUAGGGAUUGUGAUUGACACACAGUCACACAGUCAAAUUAACUACAGCCAUUAGGGAUGAAGCAGUGGACAAUGUUGUGGUUUUAUGUUGCAGUUGAGGCAACCUAUGUUGGUGUUAUGUUGCGGUGGACAUUGGGAAGAACAUGCCUCUAUUCAAUUGCAAUUGGGUUUUAAAUAUGUGGUGUUACCUUAUGGUGGGAAAUUAGAGAAUUCCUAAAUCUAAACCAUGUAAUAGAUUGGAUGGUUGAGAUUUUUUUUACAACAUGACUAAGAGACUGCAGUGAAUCACGGUCCGUAAUUUAGUAAUAGGGGGGGAUUUUUUUUAGAAGAAAUGAUAUUUUGACAACCAUUUUGUGACAACUUUAUUUCUCACACUCACAUUAUUUUUUUACUUUCUCUCUCUAUUGUUUUGGUUUCCGUGUCACUAUCUACUUUCCUUUGUAAAUUAGUGGUUAUCACAAAAGUUGUCAUUCAAUUGGUUGUUCAAAUAACACACCUCUUUUUUUAGAGAGAGAGAGAGAGAGAGAGAGAGAAAAUACGGGUGUUGGUCAGACAUGAAAAUUACUUUAAAGGACAUGUGUUUAAUGACAAUUAAAAAAGAGAGAAGGGGUAUUUUUUGUCCAAAUCAAAUAGGUGUAUGAUGCCAAUGCACACCUUCUAAAAUUAAAGUGGGUGCGUAUCAUCCUUUCCCUUUAUAUAAUUAUAUAAUAUAUAUUUACUUAUAAACGAAAGUUUAGAUGAGGAACACCCCAUAUAAGGUCAUGAAAAACUAUCAACUUUGUUAUUUUUGUUUAUUUUUUAAUACGAAAGUUUAAAUGAGUUUGGUUCUGAGGGCUCACAAGGAUCAGUGUAGACCUUAAGAAAUUAAGGUUCAAUGAACGUUUAUAGAGGUAUUUACUAAUCAUCCGCUAAAAAGGUCAUCACAUUGCUAGUGAGAGUUGAAUCCGACCACGUUAAAGAUUUACUAAUCAACAAGAACGCAUGGAGGAACAUUAACUAAUGAUUUGUCGGCUGAUGUGGCUAGUGGAGAGGCCAGUAGGCAUGGCGAGAUGUAACGAGGGAUGAAAAUGAAAUUAAAUCAAAUGGUCUCUGGCAUAGAAGAUGCUUCUCUCACUAGUCAUUGAGGAACACCUUUUGUCAUGCUUCAUCUCUUCUUUUGAAAACCCUUCACCAUUUCUUCUCUCUCAAAUUCAUAUUUAUUUACUGAUAAGUGCUCAAAAGUAACAUAUUUCAGGUGUUAACUUAGGCAAAAUAGUGACUUGUUUUGCAAGUUAUCUAAGGAAAAGCUACCAUUUGAGUGUAUUUUUACCAUUUAUGCUUUACAUGCCUGAUUCUACCCAAUUUAUGCAGGAAAUGACAAGCAAGGACCAAGAAAGAACCUCUUGAACCAAGAGAUGGUCGCUUAAGCGACCUCCUGUUCGCUUAAGCGAACCAGUUCCAGAGAGCAUCAAGAUCUUCGCUUUCCAGACGCUUGCACCACGCUUAUGAAGAAAAUAGUUGCACGCUUAAGCGACCAUUGUCCAGUGAGCACCAGAUUUGCACGCUUUCUGCUCGCUUCUCACACGCUUAAGCGAAGUUCAUCAGCUUCAUAUGGAUAAGGCACACGUGGUAGCUCCCAAUUGGGCUAAGAAAGAUAUUUUGGUGGGUCGCUUAAGCAACCAGAGCACGCGUAAGCGUGCUAACACGAAUUCUGCCCAUAUAAAUAGUUUUUCCUUCUCUCUCUUGGAGAUUAUUACAUUUUUAUUCAUAUUUUCUGCAUUCUAGAGAGAGGUUAGGGCAUUUCUAGAGAGAGAAAUACAAGGCAAGGUAGUUAGGAGUAGAUUCAAGCCAAGAUUUGUUGAGACAUCAUGGAUCUUGUCAUGAAAUCUUCAUCUUUUCUUCAUCAUUUGCAAAGCUAUCAUAGACAUAUGUAGCUACAUCCAUUCUUGUGGUUUUGAGGUAUUCAAACAAGCUAUUAUGUAAUCUUUUGAUAAUUUAAUGUAUGGUUCUAGCUAUUUAUUCAAUAUUGUUGUUAUUCUUGCUUUUAUUGUUUUAUUGAGAUUCAAAAUGAUAUGGACACAUACUUUUGAAUCUAGAAAUAGAAUAACAAUCUAUCUUAUUUUUGAGGCGAUGUCGGGAUUAAAAGUGAACUUCCAUAAAAGUUUGUUGGUGGGGAUUAAUGUUUCGGUUUCUUGGUUGAAUGAUGCAGCAAAUAUGCUUGGGUGUAAAGUAGGUAAGGUCCCCUUUGUGUAUUUGGGUCUCUCGAUUGGUGGUGAUCCGAGGCGUCUGUCGUUUUGGGAGCCGGUGGUGGAUAGAGUUAAAAAGAGAUUAUCAGGGUGGCGUAGUAAUUUCCUAUCUUUUGGUGGUCGUCUAGUUCUUCUUAAGGCUGUCCUGUCCUCUCUUCCUGUCUAUGCACUUUCCUUCUUCAGAGCUCCAUCAGGUAUACUUUCUACCCUUGAAUCUUUGUUUAUAAAAUUCUUUUGGGGUGGGUGUGAGGAUCAUAGGAAAAUUUCAUGGGUUAGUUGGAACAAUAUUUGUGCUAGCAAAUUUAAUGGUGGUUUGGGGGUGAGGAGGUUGAGGGAGUUUAAUGUUUCUCUGUUAGGCAAGUGGUGUUGGAGGUUAUUAGUCGAUAAGGGUAGUAUGUGGUAUAGGGUGUUGGUAGCGCGUUAUGGUGAGGAGGACAGGAGGUUGGCGGUUGGGGGCCGGAGUGUUUCUUUGUGGUGGAAGGAGGUAGCAGGUAUUCGUGAUGGGUUAGGUGAAGUAGGUGAAGGGUGGUUUAGGGACAAUGUUGAGCGUAAGGUGGGUGAUGGGGUUGAUACGGCGUUUUGGUUGGAUCCGUGGGUGAGUGGUGUGCCUUUGUGUGUUCGGUUUAGGCGGUUGUUCGACUUAGCCGUCAAUAAAUCUAUUUCGGUGGCAGAUAUGUUUGCAUUAGGUUGGAACGAAGGGGGGGAGGCGUGGCAAUGGCGUAGGAGGUUGUGGGCCUGGGAGGAGGAGUUGUUAGGGGAGUGUAGGAUUUUAUUGUCUGACAUUUUCUUGCAGCAUAAUUCUACUGAUCGUUGGACGUGGAGACUUGAUCCGUCGAAUGGUUACUCAGUUAGCGGUGUGUACCGAAUGCUCACCAGUCAACCGGUCCAAGCAUCAGAUGUUCUAUCGGAUUUAAUUUGGCAUAAACAGGUUCCCUUGAAGGUAUCUAUUUUUGCGUGGAGACUCCUACGUAAUAGACUACCGACGAAGGACAACUUGUCCGUGCGUGGUGUUAUUUCUCAUGAUAAUCAGUUUUGUGUGAUUGGUUGCGGUGACUUUGAGACUGCGCUUCAUUUGUUUUGCUUUUGUUCGUUCUUUGAUGCCUUGUGGGGGCACAUUCGGUCUUGGCUAGGGAUAGCUACCGCCGAGCCCUUCUGUUUGUUAGAUCAUUUUUAUCAGUUCGUGUAUUCCGCAGGUCCAUCUCGUUCUAUACGUACUUUCAUGCAACUUAUUUGGUUGUGUUCUAUGUGGGUUCUGUGGAAUGAAAGAAACAGCAGGGUCUUCAAAAAUAGGGAACACACUGUUCACCAAUUGGUAGAGAAAAUCAAAGUGCAAUCCUUUUGGUGGAUGAAGGCUACUAAUAUUUCUAUUCGUAAUAAUUUUCAUAUGUGGUGUUCAAGCCCUUUUGUUUGUUUGGGCAUUGGCUAGUUUGUUCAGUUGGAUUCAUUGUUGUUUUUGUAGUUGUAUACUGUUGAGAUUUGUCUAGCACACCUUGUGCUUGAUUGAUCUCUUUGAGGUUUUAAUAUAUUCCAUUUUUGCUUGUUCAAAAAAAAAAACAAUCUAUCUUAAGUUAUCACUCUAGACAUGGAUGUUAAUAUUUGAUAAUCAAUUUUAAUCUAGGACUUAAUGCUUUUGGGUAAAUUAAUCGGUUGGGAAAUCGUCGAUUAAAUUAUCCAAUCGACUUCGUGAUCGUUUAAAUGUUUGGGAAAUCGAUGUUUAAACGAUCCCUUAGAAAUAACGAUAUCAUUUGGACACGAAUGAUAUUGUCGAGUGAUUGUGAUAAUAUAGUUUAAAAAGCUAGAAUCCGUUAAUCGAUCGAGAGAUUGCANNNNNNNNNNNNNNNNNNNNNNNNNNNNNNNNNNNNNNNNNNNNNNNNNNNNNNNNNNNNNNNNNNNNNNNNNNNNNNNNNNNNNNNNNNNNNNNNNNNNNNNNNNNNNNNNNNNNNNNNNNNNNNNNNNNNNNNNNNNNNNNNNNNNNNNNNNNNNNNNNNNNNNNNNNNNNNNNNNNNNNNNNNNNNNNNNNNNNNNNNNNNNNNNNNNNNNNNNNNNNNNNNNNNNNNNNNNNNNNNNNNNNNNNNNNNNNNNNNNNNNNNNNNNNNNNNNNNNNNNNNNNNNNNNNNNNNNNNNNNNNNNNNNNNNNNNNNNNNNNNNNNNNNNNNNNNNNNNNNNNNNNNNNNNNNNNNNNNNNNNNNNNNNNNNNNNNNNNNNNNNNNNNNNNNNNNNNNNNNNNNNNNNNNNNNNNNNNNNNNNNNNNNNNNNNNNNNNNNNNNNNNNNNNNNNNNNNNNNNNNNNNNNNNNNNNNNNNNNNNNNNNNNNNNNNNNNNNNNNNNNNNNNNNNNNNNNNNNNNNNNNNNNNNNNNNNNNNNNNNNNNNNNNNNNNNNNNNNNNNNNNNNNNNNNNNNNNNNNNNNNNNNNNNNNNNNNNNNNNNNNNNNNNNNNNNNNNNNNNNNNNNNNNNNNNNNNNNNNNNNNNNNNNNNNNNNNNNNNNNNNNNNNNNNNNNNNNNNNNNNNNNNNNNNNNNNNNNNNNNNNNNNNNNNNNNNNNNNNNNNNNNNNNNNNNNNNNNNNNNNNNNNNNNNNNNNNNNNNNNNNNNNNNNNNNNNNNNNNNNNNNNNNNNNNNNNNNNNNNNNNNNNNNNNNNNNNNNNNNNNNNNNNNNNNNNNNNNNNNNNNNNNNNNNNNNNNNNNNNNNNNNNNNNNNNNNNNNNNNNNNNNNNNNNNNNNNNNNNNNNNNNNNNNNNNNNNNNNNNNNNNNNNNNNNNNNNNNNNNNNNNNNNNNNNNNNNNNNNNNNNNNNNNNNNNNNNNNNNNNNNNNNNNNNNNNNNNNNNNNNNNNNNNNNNNNNNNNNNNNNNNNNNNNNNNNNNNNNNNNNNNNNNNNNNNNNNNNNNNNNNNNNNNNNNNNNNNNNNNNNNNNNNNNNNNNNNNNNNNNNNNNNNNNNNNNNNNNNNNNNNNNNNNNNNNNNNNNNNNNNNNNNNNNNNNNNNNNNNNNNNNNNNNNNNNNNNNNNNNNNNNNNNNNNNNNNNNNNNNNNNNNNNNNNNNNNNNNNNNNNNNNNNNNNNNNNNNNNNNNNNNNNNNNNNNNNNNNNNNNNNNNNNNNNNNNNNNNNNNNNNNNNNNNNNNNNNNNNNNNNNNNNNNNNNNNNNNNNNNNNNNNNNNNNNNNNNNNNNNNNNNNNNNNNNNNNNNNNNNNNNNNNNNNNNNNNNNNNNNNNNNNNNNNNNNNNNNNNNNNNNNNNNNNNNNNNNNNNNNNNNNNNNNNNNNNNNNNNNNNNNNNNNNNNNNNNNNNNNNNNNNNNNNNNNNNNNNNNNNNNNNNNNNNNNNNNNNNNNNNNNNNNNNNNNNNNNNNNNNNNNNNNNNNNNNNNNNNNNNNNNNNNNNNNNNNNNNNNNNNNNNNNNNNNNNNNNNNNNNNNNNNNNNNNNNNNNNNNNNNNNNNNNNNNNNNNNNNNNNNNNNNNNNNNNNNNNNNNNNNNNNNNNNNNNNNNNNNNNNNNNNNNNNNNNNNNNNNNNNNNNNNNNNNNNNNNNNNNNNNNNNNNNNNNNNNNNNNNNNNNNNNNNNNNNNNNNNNNNNNNNNNNNNNNNNNNNNNNNNNNNNNNNNNNNNNNNNNNNNNNNNNNNNNNNNNNNNNNNNNNNNNNNNNNNNNNNNNNNNNNNNNNNNNNNNNNNNNNNNNNNNNNNNNNNNNNNNNNNNNAGUGUUAUAAAUAUUAAUAUUGGAUGUCCAAAUAGCAAAUGUGUUAGUGGGCCAUACUACUAGGUUUUGGGCUUAGUUCAUUAGCUACUCUAUUUCCCUAUAAAUAGAGCUCAUUUGUAACAUUGAUACACACAUCAGUGAAUAAGAAUAUUUCUCUCUUCUUCUCAUUCUCUCUAUUACUGUCUCUAUUUACUUAUAUUCAUAACACGUUAUCAGCACGCUCUAAUCACUGAAAAGGUAUUAAUAUACAAUAUAUUUCACUAAUUCAUUUUUUUUCCUUGGCUAUAAUGUCCUCGUGUAUAUACGUGAUUCAUUAGGAACAGGAUCAUUAGAAAUUGGUGUUCGACAAGGAUUAUAUAUCUAUGUGCCUAUUUAAUUGUUGUUAUAAUUCAUAUACAGUGAUAAUUGUACUCUUGUAUCGAUGAUUUUAGGUCACUGUUACAAUUCCAUCAAUUGGAAUCAGGACCUAAUAGAUACAAAUCAUUGUUUUUUUGCAAAUUAUAUAAUGUUUAUUUAUUUUAUGAAUUCAAUCCUUGAAGGACCACUUAAAAGUAAAUAAAGAAACUCUAAUGAAUUCUUGAAGAAUCCAAUACUAAUGCAUCCCGGAAGGAUUGCACAUACAAAAUUUUUUAAUGAAUUCCUGAAGAAUUCAAAAACAGUACGAAUGCAUCCAUGAAGGAUUGCACAUAUAAAAGUUUCUUAAUGAGUUCAUGUAGAAUGCAACAGUAGUACUAGUGCAUCCCCGAAGGAUCACUUAAAAAUCAUUUUUUUAAAUUAUUUUAUGAAUUUCUGAUGAAUUCAACAUUAAUGCAUCCCUGAAGGAUUACACAAAUAAUUUAUCAAACUUAGUAGAUAGUUCUUGCUGAACUCAAAUAUUUAAUCCCUGAAGGAUUGCAAAAGUACUACCAUUUUAAUUAUGAUUGUCGUACGAUUGUCCUUGAUUAUAUUUGUGCAUUUUUUUUUGUUGAAUAACAUUUGUAUAUGCAUAAACAACUGCCAUGGUAAAAUAUAAUGGUUAUUAAAGUAUGCAGGUUGCAUGAGUAAUUGAAUUCUUGUAUAAUAAUAUCAGUAACAAACUUGAUAUUUUUCUUUUGGAUAAGCAUGAGACAAUAACGUUAUAACGUGUAUCAUUUUAUCAACUAAUUAUGAGAAUUAUACUUCUCAUUUAUAAAAGAAGGACACGUAGUAUUCAUGUGUUGCAUUUAUCACGUUAGAAAUUGCAUCAUUUAUUUUGUAGUAAUUAUCUUAUAAAUAAAUUAAUAUUAACUCAAGAAGUGUUUAUCACUAGUAAUUAAUGAUAGGAACAAAUUAGCAUACAAUUUUUUUUAUGAAACAAAUCAGCAUACUAUUACACGUACUUAGCAUACAAAUUUAUGGAACAAAUAUAGACACCCACUGCAACACAUAUUUAGGAACAAAUCAACAUUUUUUUUUACAAAACCAUGGCUGAAAAAAAUAUAACACAAUUUUUUUUGCAUAGUUAUAUAACACAGAUUGAAUAGCAUUCUUUUUCAUUCCACAGUCUGGUCAAUCUAGGACGGAGGGAAUUUUCUUAAAGCCUAUCUUUUCCGGAAAAUUGUCUAUCAAAAUAAAUUCUAUUUUACGAAACAAAUUAAGUUUUUAUAUUUCAUAAUAGUCAUGCUCCUUAAUGUUUUAUUAGUUAUGUCUUAAUUAUUUUUCACAUGAUCAAUCUACAUAAUAGUUUCUUCUAUUUUUUUUCUAACUCUGUUAUAUUUUAUCUAACUUGAUUAAUUUUAUAAUUUGAUGAUAGUAAGAAUGUCAAAUCUGUCAAAACUUCAUUUUGAGGUCCUAAAAAUUUCUGGACACAACUAUUUGACUUGGGCCGUAGAUGCUGAAAUGUACUUAGCUGCUGAAGGAAAUGCAGAUGCCAUAAAAGAAGGAAAUAAGGCAUCCGAACAACAAAAAGCAAAAGCAUUGAUAUUCCUUCGUCACCAUAUUAAUGAAGCACUUAAGAAUGAAUACCUCACUGUGAAAGAUCCACUUGUGCUCUGGAAUAAACUAAAAGAUAGAUACGAGCACUUGAAAGCCAUUAUCCUCCCAAAAGCUAGGUAUGAUUGGAUGCAUUUGCGCUUACAGGACUAUAAAUCUGUAACUGCCUAUAAUUCUGAAGUAUACAAAAUUACUUCUCAAUUAGAAUUGUGUGGUGAAAAGGUAACAGAUGCNNNNNNNNNNNNNNNNNNNNNNNNNNNNNNNNNNNNNNNNNNNNNNNNNNNNNNNNNNNNNNNNNNNNNNNNNNNNNNNNNNNNNNNNNNNNNNNNNNNNNNNNNNNNNNNNNNNNNNNNNNNNNNNNNNNNNNNNNNNNNNNNNNNNNNNNNNNNNNNNNNNNNNNNNNNNNNNNNNNNNNNNNNNNNNNNNNNNNNNNNNNNNNNNNNNNNNNNNNNNNNNNNNNNNNNNNNNNNNNNNNNNNNNNNNNNNNNNNNNNNNNNNNNNNNNNNNNNNNNNNNNNNNNNNNNNNNNNNNNNNNNNNNNNNNNNNNNNNNGUGAUCGUUUAAAUGUUUGGGAAAUCGAUGUUUAAACGAUCCCUUAGAAAUAACGAUAUCAUUUGGACACGAAUGAUAUUGUCGAGUGAUUGUGAUAAUAUAGUUUAAAAAGCUAGAAUCCGUUAAUCGAUCGAGAGAUUGCAUCUGUUACGCUUGGUUGAUGUCUUUGACCGCAAGCGAAAUAGCCCUAUCUCUUCUCGUUUGACUUUUAUGUCGAAUAGGAAAAUAGUUUUACACAAACAAACAAUUUAUACCCAAACACUUAACGUGACAAAUAUUAUGAAAAUGCUUAUGAAAUACACAACUCUCUAUGGACACGAUCCUAUUAUACUCACGUGUAAAUAGUUUUAUGAGAUGGAAAAAUCCUUCAUCAUUUACCACACUUGGCGAUGGCGGAGCAACACAAGGAGGUAGAGGGUGCACUAAUGUUGGAGUAACACUUUUGGUGGGUUAUGUAGAUAAUUGUCUAAACUUCCAUUCGGCAUGUAAUCAUAAAUCAAAAGUAACUCGCUUUUUCGCCUGUAAUAGCCAUGAAGUUGAACAAGAUUCUUGUGCCGAAGACGACCGAUACUAACAAUUUCCGACACGAAUUCCCUCAUCCCUUGUCUUGAUUCAUGAGAGACCCUUUUCACAGCAACCUCAAUUUUGGAACUUGGUAUGACACCUUUGUAGACUCUACCAAAUCCACCAACUCCCAGUAGCUCGUUUUCCCUGAAACCCUUUGUAGCAAAGUAUAGAUCUUUGAACUUAAAUCUAUGUGGGCCAUAUUCAUGUUCCCAAUCUUCAAGAACCUCAUCAAACUUCUUCAAUUUGAUAUAAUACAUAACCCCUAAAGAUAUCAUGAAUACCAAACUUAGGAAAACCCAUGGCAACCCAACAGUUAAAAAUUUGGACUCUUUUUUCUCACCAAAUCUUCGUAGUUUAGGAAGUUCAGAAAUUACAAGAUUUUGAGCUUGACCAUUAAGCUUAAAACUUCAACCAAGAAUAUAAUGAGAAGUGAAAACUGAACCAGUAGCUGAUGAGAAUCCAACAUACAUACUAUUGUUCAAAAUUGGAGGAAGAUCUCUGGUCAAUGAAAACAAAGGUUGUUUUGGUUUAACAACAUUAAUUGGAGCUAAAGUAACAUCAAUCUUUUUAUUUUCACCAUCAUAUUCUAUCCAUACCUGCAUAGGAUAGCCAGAGAAAAGGGUCAAGUUCUUGAAUUGGCCAUUUUUAUCAUCAUAUUCUGUCUGAGAAAUGAAUACUUUAAGACUAUAGGGCUUAAAGAAGUUGAAGUUGUUGGCCUUGGUGACUGUUGAAUAAGAGAGAAAAGAGAGACAUAUGAUGAAAUACGAUGCAUUUAUCCCGUCAGAGUGAAUGAACAAAUUUUCGAUCUAAACUUUGAGAGGUAUUUUUACUAGAUAAUUAGUAUCUUUUUAUACUCGCAUAUAUAAACACGUAAGAUUCAAAAUGGGAACGGUUCGAGUAUUUUUAACAAAUGUUUGCAUGUAAAAUAAUAGAAGAUUUUAUAGAAAUUCAAUAUUAAAAUAAAAGAAAGUUUUUACAGGACCCAUAUUUAUCACUUAUUAAUAAAAUAUAUUUGUUUUUGACAAAUUAGUAAUAUUAAUGUUAGUUUUUACACGGAACUCAUAUUUAUCAUUUAUUAAUAAAAUAUAUUUGUUUUGACAAAUUAUGAAUAUUAAUGUUAGUUUUUACACGGGACCCAUAUUUAUCACUUAUUAUUAACAUAUAUAUUUUUGACAAAUUAUUAAUAAAACAUAUGAGUGCAUGUAAAUACAAAUAUAUGUUUGGACAAUAUAUAAACUGUUAUAAAUAUUAAUAUUGGAUGUCCAAAUAGCAAAUGUGUUAGUGGGCCAUACUACUAGGUUUUGGGCUUAGUUCAUUAGCUACUCUAUUUCCCUAUAAAUAGAGCUCAUUUGUAACAUUGAUACACACAUCAGUGAAUAAGAAUAUUUCUCUCUUCUUCUCAUUCUCUCUAUUACUGUCUCUAUUUACUUAUAUUCAUAACACGUUAUCAGCACGCUCUAAUCACUGAAAAGNUUGCAAACCUUAAUCAUUUAAAAUUUCGUUCCUUGACCCACUUAAUCACUGCCUCAUCUAUAAUAUGGCUUGAAAGAACAAAAAUACCCUUGAUAUGGGUUUUUUGAACACCAAUUAUUCUCACAUAAAUCAACAGUGCCAAUUUGUCACAAGAAUGCACACAAUCACACCAAUCACAAAAAAAUAAAAGAACACACAAAAACCAACAGCAAACUCAUUGAUUCCAAUAAACAUUAAGGAAGUUUUCCUCAAGAAAUUCAUCCACAAAUUCAUGCAUAAACAACCUAGAAAUUUAUCACCAAAUUCGAAAAUUAAAAAACUCUAUCACAUAGAAUUUAAUCCCAAAGUUGCAACUCAUCCCUUUGAUAAUUUGUAACCAACUUGAUAGAUCUUUAAGCUACCUUACCUUCAUUCAACAUUUAGUAAAACAACUUCAAAAGAUGGCAGCAACUCAUUUCUCUCUGCUUCUGAUCAAACACUACUUGACAAACUAACUUCAACAGAGUUUGGUGAUUUCAUCAACAAUAAAAAUCUGACUCUCACACUCUUGAAGCAGUUAAAAAACAACACCGAUGGCAGUUACAAACUUCAAUUCCCUUGCCUCAUUCCUUUUCCAACUGCAACUCAUCCCUUCCCUCCUUAUAGAUAUGAAAAACACACAUUGUGAGGUCACCGUCGCCGUCGUCGCUUUCAUUCCAAAAACACGUGUGGUAAAGAACUGGACGCUCCGACACGGUGUUUGAUGUGAUAUGGAAAGAAAGGGAUAAGGAAUGGAUUUUAUUACUGUAUGUGUUGUGAUAAGGAAAGAAAGGGAGAAUGAGAUAUGAGUUGUGUGGUGUUGUUUGUGAUGAUGAGGAUGAAGGAGAUGGUGGUGGUUGUGGUGCUGGGUUUUGAAGAUGAAGAAGGAGAAGAGAUGAACUUAAGGGUAAAACAGUUAUUACGUUUAAGUGUAUGUGUUAGAACCUUAGGGGCAUUUCGGUCUGUUCACCUAAACUUUUGAUGGGUCAACACUGCCACGUCAUCAAAUUACUAACAUGGCGGUGAUUAAGUGGGUUAAGUGAUGAAAUUUUAAAUGAUUAAGGUUUGCAGGGGUAAUUUGUCAAGAUUAACGAUUACAAGGACCAAUUUUUAAAUGACCCCUAAUUACAAGGAUGAAACACAUUUUAAGCCUAUAUAAUACUUUAAUUUUGAUUUUUUAUGGGACCCAUAUCAGUAUUUUGUAUGUUAUUUUUCACACCGAAACAUAAUUAGUAAAUAAAAUCUUUGAUUAUUUUCAAUCAUUAAUAUUUUAAUACACUAUGAUUAAUCACUUUAAUUUUGUUCGUUGUUUUUCUAUAAAUGGGUCAUUAUAAAAUAGUUGGAGGUGAGCUUAGCUCAGCUAUAAGGAACAAUGUAUAAUAUAUGUAAGGUCCUGGGUUCAAACCUUCACUACCACAAAAAAAUAAAAAUAAAAAAAAUAAAAAAAAAUUGGAGGGUACAAUUGAAACACGGGAUCCAUAAUAACAUUUCACUACUCAUGAUAGAUGCAAAGCAUAUUAGUAACUAAAACCCGUGACCAAUUUUAAUUAGUAUUUUUUUAAUGCAUAAUUUUACAAAAGAGAGCAGCCCUCUGUUUCACUAUAAUAAUGAGUAAUUUUACAAAAGAGAUAUCAAUGGGUUACAAGAAUAAGUCUCCCGCCUAAUUCUACCCAAAGUCUCAAUCUCUUCCCAUAACCAAGAGACUCAAUCCUAAUAGUGUUUUCUAAUCUGAAUCAACCAUCAAACUCUAGUGUUUGUUUUCAAGAGAUAAACUCUAUACAAACCUUAGUUUUGUUGUUGCCUUUCUAAACUCUUGUUUCAGCCCCCUCUAUCUCAAGGUUUACUCGGAUACAAAGCCUAUAUUUAUAGUAAAAGUAUCCCUCAUAAAACUGGAACAAAUCUAGGCCCGAAAAUACGUUUCUGUUUUAUUUCCUGCUGUUAAAAUCGGCCACCGAAUUGCACCAUUCGAACACCAAUUUUUCUCGAACCAACAGACAAAAAACCAGCACUUAAAAUCGGCCACUGAUUUUCUACUUCCAGAAUUCCAAUUUCUUCAAUUUUGAGUCACUUUCACAACAGAAGAAAUUAGAACGAGUGGAGGAGAAAAGAUGAAGAGCUUGUCUGAGUCUUUAGCACAAACAUAAUUUCUGAAGUUAUUUAGUGAUUGGUUUAUUGCAUUUGAAGGUUUUACAGGUUAUUUCUUUGAUUACCCUUUGAAUUUACUAAAUAAUAAUUGUAGUGUCAUUCGUCUACUCAAAAUAGAUGCAAACUUGGACCCAAUAAAGUAUAAACAAAAUCAAAACAAAAAAUAGUUUAAUGAGAAAAUGCUUUCAUGUAACUAUUAAACUAUUUACUCAAGCAUGAAUUCACUUUUUAGAUAACAAACUAUCUUUAAUCCAUUUUAACAAAAUCUACCACAUUACAAAAUCGAAAUGGACCAAUUAAGCAUCAAUUUCACGUGCCUUUUGAAAUCAACGACCACCAGAGAGAACAGACUCAGCAAUAGAUACAGAAGUAUACGGCAUUGUCUUGUCCUCAACAGAUACUUGGUACCCAAAAAAUAAACCAGAAGAAGAUAAACUAAGCGAAAACAAAUAUGGCAAAGGUAUAUCCCUCUCCAAAUACUGCACAACUUGUCUCAUACCUGGUCUAGCCAAAGGUUCUGAAUGUGAACACAACAAUCCAAGUUUCAACACCAACUCGACCUCCUCAGACACAUAAUCAGUGCCCAAAUUUACAUCUUUUGCCUCAAGAAUCUCACCUCUUUGCCAACAUUCAAACACAUAAUCAACUAGAAUUAGACUCUCAUUGUCUCCUACACGGCCUAGAGGCCUCCUACCACAAACAACCUCAAGAAGAAAUGCACCAAAAGAAAACACAUCAGAAAAUUUUGUAGCCUUACCUGUUCUAAUAUGUUCAGGAGCAAGAUAACCAAUAGUUCCAGCCAAAUGAGUUGUGUGAGGAUCUGCACCGUGAUCAUACAACCUUGAAAGACCAAAAUCUCCCAAUCUUGAAUUAAAUUCAGAAUCUAACAACACAUUACUAGCCUUUAUGUCUCUAUGAAUCACAACUUUCUCCCAUUCUUCGUGUAGAUAAACCACACCUGACGCAAUACCUUUGAUGAUUCUAAAUCUUUGACUCCAAUUCAACCUCACUUUUGGUUGGUUGAAUAGAUAGUUGUCUAAACUUCCAUUCGGCAUGUAAUCAUAAACCAAAAGUAACUCGCUUUUUCGCCUGCAAUAGCCAUAAAGUUGGACAAGAUUCCUGUGCCGAAGACGACCGAUACUAACAAUUUCCGACACGAAUUCCCUUAUCCCUUGUCUUGAUUCAUGAGACACCCUUUUCACAGCAACUUGAAGUUUGGAACUUGGUAUCACACCUUUGUAGACUUUACCAAAUCCACCAACUCCCAGUAUCCCCUUUUCCCUGAAACCCUUCGUGGCAGAGUAUAGAUCUUUGAACUUAAAUCUAUGUGGGCCAUAUUCAUGUUCCCAAUCUUCAAGAACCUCAUCAAACUUCUUCAAUUUGAUAUAAUACAUAACCCCUAAAGUUAUGAUGAAUACCAAACUUAGCAAUAUCAAAGGCAACCGAACAGUUAAAAAUUUGGACUUUUUUUUCUCAGCAAAUACUCUUUCUCCAGGAAGGUCAGAGAUUUCAAGGUUUUGAGAUUGGCCAUUAACCAUAAAACUCCAACCAUGAAUAUAAUGAGAAGCUGCAAUGAACCCUGUUGAAGAUGAGAAUCCAACAUACAUUCUAUUGUUGAGAAUUGGGGAAAGAUCUUUGGUCAAUGAUAACGUCGGUUGUGUUGGUUUAUGACUAAAACCAACACUAACUGGAGCUAAGGUAACAUCAAUCUUUUUCUUCACUCCAUCAUAUUCAAUCCAUACCUGCAUAGGAUGUCCACUGGUAAGGGAUAAAUUCCUGAAUCGACCAGUAUCAUCAUAAUAUCCUGCAGGAGUUGAAUUAGCUGAUUUCAAAUCAUUGAUAUCAAUUCCAACAUGAUUAUCAUUGAUAUCAUCAAACUCAAAAUUUUUACGAGUGUCAAGCUCAACACCAAAAACAUGGUUGCUACUGUUUCCAAUGUUGGAGUAGUUAAAGAGACCAAAGUAUUGAUUUGGUAGUGAAUUUGGUAGCCCUUUUGUAGGAGAAAGAACAAAAACAAUUCCAUGGCCACUAAUAGAUGGAUACAUGGAUUUUAUGGUAAAUACAAAAGUAGUUGAGAAAGAUGACACACUUGCAUUCGAAGUGUUUUUAAAAACUAUAUGAUUUGGAUAGAAAGCAUAUGCUGUAUCUGGCCCGGUAUCAUUGGUGAGUCUUAGUAAGCCAUCUGAAGUUAACUCAGCAAUACCAUCAAGAUAUAAAUGUGAUGAUUGGAAACCAUUAUAGAUGAAACUGCUGUCUUCACUUGCUACAAAUGUAACAAGAAAAAACAACAUAAACACAAGCUUGAGGAACAUGAUUAUAGUUUGUGAAUGAAUAAUGCUUGUGUAGUUCUGUUCGGUGUUUAUUAUUUAUAAGAUUUUGUCCAAAGUGAAGUAAAAAUUGCAUGCCUAAUUUGGGACCUACUAAGAAAUGUCCUGGAACCUAGCUACGAAUUAUUACUGAAAGAAACAUCACUUGACAAAGUUUCUUAAAUUGCCUUAUCAUCUGAGAUAUUUAGUUUAGUGAAAAUUAAUGUGUUACACAUUUGAAUAAAUGAGCACAUUUGAACCACAAUUUUUCUUUCCAUCUGUAGUUGUGGGGGAAUAUUUUUCAACGUAUUCAUAUUAAGUGUUUGAUGCUAAAUUGAAUGUGUGAAAUUAAAACAUCAAUGUCGUCUAAAUUCUUAAAAGUGUUUUUUUUUUUCUUUUCAAACUUGAAUGUGUGGACUUGACAAGUUACUAUUGAUUAUGCUGCAAAUCAAAUGAUGAAUGAAUAUGUGGUGGAAGGAUAAAAAGAUAUAUGUUUGUUUUGACAUAGUCACCUCAUCUCUAAAUAUAAGACGAUUUAUAAAAGAAAAUGUAUGUCCUUAAAUACAAGACUCACUACAAAUUACUAAAUGCAUUUGUUAUUUUUCUUCUUCUUUCUAAUAUACCCCUAUUAAUACUAUUGUCAUCUCGAUUUUAGGGUGUCAAGCCAUUGAUUGGACUUGAACCUUUCAAUCCUCGAUGUUCUCUAUUUUUUUGGGGAAGGGUAAAUGGAGAGAAACCCUUAAAAAGUUCUAGGUUCGGGGGUCGAUUUCGUUACGGGAAGGUGUUAGGCACCCGUCGCGACUAUAGUAUCCUAUAGGAACCGUUUUCUAAUUUUGCCUAUGCUUUACCUUUUAUAUUUAUGAAAGGAAUGUUGUUUAUCAAGAAUGGAGGGAGAGAUAGUUGAGUUUGAUUUUAUUUGAAAAAUGAUUUUUGAAGAGGAGGAGAGAAGCCGUAAGGCAUAGAAGAAAAAUGUCGAAUUUGAUCUUUAUUUUUAUUUCACAAAAGGGCAUUGGAGUAUUGACUCCAAAGUUUGUUUGAAAAAUUUAGCCUAUUUCGAAGAAGAAAUUUCGCUAGGCGUCGAAUUCCUAAACAUACACCUAAAUCGAUAAUCAUGCAACGUGUGUGCGAGUGUCGGUGCUUGUGUCGGUGUACAUUAUUAGGGAUAGUCCAUAGUCCGUUACAUUUUGUCCUAGUAUACAUUCUAUGGUCUUGCGAAAAUUAAAAUGGAAACUAAACUAUCUAAAAUGUUACACCAUUUAUCAUAUGAAUAAAAGUAAAAAAAAUGGCUAAACUAGUGGAAAUAGAAAUGGAAUGGUGAAAUGCUCAUGAGAUGAAUGAAACAAAGGGUGAGAUGAUUAGUAAAACAAAGCAUAGAAUAAUAGAAGUGCACAAGAAAUAAUAUUGAAAGGAAAGACAUAAAAGAAGCAAAUAAAGUGGCAAAAUGUGUGUGAAAAUGGACAUAAAACUCUAGCACAUGUAUGACCCAUAAUCCCUUUAUUUUGGCGUUUUUAGAGGUCUUGCUUUGUGUAAAAAAAAAUGAAAAAGAUGGGACAUAUUUUAUGCUAGAAUUUAUGGCGCACUUUCAAAACAUUUUGACACUUUAUUCACUAAUGAAAAUGCAUACAAAUUGCAAGGUGAAGAGGGAAUUAAAAUUGAUAUACAAAAGCAGCAAAUUGCACAUAUAAUCAGCAGCAAAAUCAUCACAAAAUUGCACUCCAAGAAGUCAUAUCACAUGUCAACGCUUCAUGAGGAAUAUUGCACUAAAAAUGCACAUACAUGGACCAAAAAUACACUAAUUGAACAAAAAUAUCACAUGUGAUCUUUAUCAUUUUUUUUUAGUUGAAAAGCAUCACAAAGAUAUGAGAAUCCACCAAGAAUCAUGUGAUAUUUUUUGUGCAAUUUUUAGAGUAUUUUUCAAACAUGCAGAGGUUCAAUUAGUAAAGAAACGGGGUGCAGAUAGCAAAAAAAUAACAAAAAAACGAAAAAAAAACUAGGCCCAAACCCAUGCUGCUGGAAACGGAUCAGGUGGAGAGCACAGGGACCGUUGGAUCGAUCCAGGAAUUAAAAUCUAGAUCCAACGGAUGAGAAAGAAAGGAAAGAACCAAGAAUAAACCGGUUCGGUUCAGCAGCCUAUAUAUAGGUGUGAAAACCGGUUUUUCUCAUUUUUCUUCUCCUCUUUCUCUUUCUUCCCUCAAUCUAGUGAGAGAAGCUCUCACUUCUCUCUAGGAUUUCCGGUCACCUUCUCCGAUUCACAUGGCUUUUCCGGCGCGGCGGACGGCGGUGGCGCCUCCGCGCCGGAGUUCGAAACUUCUUCGAUUCAAAAAACUUUUUACGUUUUUGAACAUCCUUUUUUGUAUACUACUCGAAUCCGAGCUUAGAUUUUUCAAAAGAGUUUUGAAUCGGAGUAGAUCUAAACUUGAACCUUGAUGAAAAAAAAAAAAAAAAAAAAAUUUAAGAAAACGGAAAAGAAGAGAGGGAGAACGACGGCGGUUACCUCUUUGGCACUUCGAACUCACGAUUGCAGCGGCUCUUGGCUUGGCGUUGUUGCUUCGUGUUCUUCGCGUGUGCGCUUCGUUGCAGUUGCUUCGGCUUCGAUUGCUGUUGCUUCGGCUUCGAUUGCUGUUGCUUCAGCUUCGUGUGCUUGCGUUUCUGUUGCUGGCUUCGAUUGCUUGCGUUUUUUCGAUUCUGUCCUCUUCUCCUUCCUCUGUACAGAUUCGAUUUUCCCUUCUUCUUCUCCCACCGUGAUCGGUGCUUGAGUUCUUCACUUCCGGUGAGGAAUUCGCACCUUGUAUUGCGGUGGAAUCGAUUCAAUGAUGAAGAUUCGUACACGAAUCUCUGAGAAUUGAUGAUGAAUUUCGGUUAGGGUUCUUUGUGUUCUUGAGAAAUUUUUUGUUUUUGAUCUGAGCCAAUGAAAAAAAGACACCUGGACUGGGGAUUGGACUGAUACGAAAAUUUGGACCAAAAUGCCCUUUGGGGCGUUUCUGCAAAAUAAUAAAAGAUAAGGACUGAACAGCAAUUUUUUUAAAAAACUAAAAAAUGCAAUUUUAAAAUGUUUUUGGACUAAAAAUGUAAUUUUUUAAAAUAAAAUUGGACUAAAAAACAAAUUUGAUAAAACGUAAAGUGAAACCAAAAUUAAAAUCAACCAAAGGACUAAAACGAACCAAUUACCGACAUGAGGUAUUUUAAAAUACCUCCCUGUCGAAUUUUUGAUAGGAAAAGACCAAAACGCCCCUAGGGACUAGACUGACUCGAACUGACUCAGAUGCAAUUUUUGAAAUAAUUUUUAAACAAAGACUCAACAAUGAUUUGUACAGAUAGGUUGAAAAGACUCAGAGGCAAACACAGGGGCUAAAAUGGGUUCCACUGCAGGAAAUGACCAAAAUACCCUUUUGUAUGGUUUUUUGAAAUAAAAUGCAAGAAAAGUAAUGCGACGUUUCAGAGGGUUCUUAAAUGACUUGUAACGUCAGAAAAGACAGAGGCAGUAAAAUAUGUUUAAAAAAGAGUAAAGAUUCAGAGUAAAAUAAGAGAGAACUGACAAAUAUCAGCGUUAAAAAAGAAAUUUGAACGAGUAUUUUUAGGUCCAAAAUCAGGGUAUAACAACUAUAAAUUUAUCAUAGAAAAUGCAAAAUAACAUUGAAUGUACUUAUAUACAAAGGGUAAUAUAGCAAUAGAUACAUACAUUUCAGAUAAAAAUUUUACUCCAAAGACUUUUCUUAAGACACGUGAUUUUUGUAAAGUGUUCUUAUAAAAAAGGAUGAAGGAAAUUUUUUUCUUCUUGCAAAAAUCGAGGCGAAAUUUCGAGCCACAUGUUCCAUCGGUCACAUUAAUUUGUUGGCAAAUCACGAGGCGAUGGAGGCAAAUUGCUGGGUAAUUUACUCGGGAUUUACAACUAUAAAAUGCAAUUUUUGACCUAGUUGUUGUGGGUGAGGGUUGAGUGUUUUUGAGUGAUAUUCUUAUGUUGAAAAACACUUGUCAUCUUGAAUAAUUAGGUCUCAUUAGAGGAAAUAUCAAACACUUUUUUCUAGUUUUCUCUUUCAAUUUGGGUUUGAGUGAAUUGAAAAAUGGAUAGAAAUUAGAGAUUGUUCUUGUGAGCUCUCAGAUCUAACUUUUUGUAGUCUCUUUGUAUCACUCAUUUUAUAUUGGAUUGGAGGGUUUCUCUCUUCCCCAAACGUAGGUCAUUUUUGGCCGAAUUAGGUAAACAAAUAUUGAUAUGUUGUUUCUCUACUCUACUAUACUAUAUUUAUGCUUUGGUUAUACUUGUAGAUUUGUUUUGCUUAGUAACUAGGUCUGUUGUUGUUGAUGAUGUUGUCAUUGCUACUGUUCGAGACUACAUUUGUUUUGGUUGCUAUUGAUAUUUGUCCUACAAAUCUAAGUGUAUUGGUGUGAUCCAUUUUUGAAUUCUCAAGAAUUGGCGCCCACCGUGCGGUGAAUGGGUAAUUUGUUCAAGUGAGCACCUUUGAAUCGAAAUGGAACAUAAAGAAGAUCAGUGGAAGCAAUGCUUGGGUUGUGGAAGAUAAAGAUGCAAUGAGUUUGACACAACAGAAGUGCGCGAAAGCAUUGAAGAGUGAAGCUGCUAUGACAACAAACUUCACACAUGCAGAUAGGAUAUAGAUGAUAGAUAAAGAAAAAAGUGUAUUAUUUUUUAUUAGAAAAAUGAUAUUUGAACAACUUUUUUUAAACAACUUUUAUGACAACUUUCUCUCAUACAGUCAUUGUACUUUUAAUCUCUCUCUCUCUCUCUCACGAUAUUGUCCAAUUAGAAGAGAGGAAAAAAGUUAUCACAAAAGUUGUUUAAAUUUGAUUGUACAACUAUCAUUCAUUUUUUUUUUAUGUAUCAAAUAUAUAUUAAGGGAUGUGUUAAGAAUCAACAUUAGUCAACUGUAUUCAAUAUGCUACCAAUUGUACACACAAACAUAUGAAUAUAAAUAAACAUUCAGUGUGUUCAUAUUAGACACAACCAUUAUACAAUCUCAACAUGGUAUCAAUAGUUUUAAGUUUCACAAUUUGUUCUUAUAUGCCUCAAAACGGCCACUAAGCAUCCCUUAUCUUUGUCGCUGCACAUCUUCCCUCCGGUGUGCCACUACCAAUAGGUUUGUCUCACUCUUGCGACCUCUGCAGCCCAACCGCACUGCCACCCGUCGCCGCACGCACCCUCAUGAACGUCCAAUAGCAUGGCGCGUGAAACCUAUGUGUGUGCCCACGAAUUCAUUUUUCAACAUUUUUUAGGUCACGAUCCAUCAUUCGCCACGAUCUUCCCUCCACCAAACACCCCUCUGUGCAAAAAAAUUCACCUUCCACAUUCAUGGGUGAUAACGCUAACAUCGAUUCCUUCACUUUUACCAAUGCUCCGCUCAUCACGUGCGACAAACACAAUCCAUAUCAACACAACAUAAGGUAUUUAUUCAGUUAUUUUAUGAAUCUAAUUUAAUUUUAUUAUGCAAAUUACUUAUUUCUCCACCACCAUGAUCUUCAUCUUUCUCAGUAAACAUCAUCAUCAAUAAACACAAACUCUUUAAAAAUUUCUCCUCCAGUUUCAACUCAUCUCCUUCAUCUUUUUCUUCACAUUUAUGACUUCAUCAUCAAAUAAAAUCCAAAUAAAGCAUACCAAUAACGAGCCAACAACAACAAAAAAUCAAUUUUUUCUGUAAAAUUUCUUCAAAGUUUUUCAAUUUGGUAUCUCUUUUGUUAACUGUUCCAAAUCAAAUUUAUACCAAUCAAAUCUAAAGCUCAAGAAAAAGUUCAUGUCUAAAAUGCAAAUGCCCAGAUCUAAUACUCAAGAAAAAACUAAUGUACGAAAAAAAUUCUAAUGUCUAUUGUUGAUAAUGAUGAUGAAGCUCAACUAGGGUAACGAGGAGAAGAGUAGAAGAAGAAUCAAACAACAACAACAACAAAUAUUUUUUAGGUUUAUCUCAUAUUUGUUUUGUUAGCGUGGGUUUGGAAAAAGAAGAGAUUUUUUAGUUUAGAAAAAGAUAAUAGAAUAGAAGGAGGAAGAGAAAGACUAGAGAAGAGAAGACACUGACAGAAGGUUUUUUUUUUUUUUUAAUCUUUUAUUUUUUGUUUUAAAAAAUAAUGUCACAUGCCACGUAUGAAAAGUCAAAUUAGCACGUCGUGUUCCUGUGAGCUUAAUCCAUUUGGCAAAAACAAUGCAAAAUAUAUGUAAAGUCUGGAGUUUAAACUCUAGACACCACGAAAAAAAAACAGCAGUCAUGUAAGUAAUUUUAUACAGUCAUAUCCAAAUCAGCGCGUCACUUUAUCCAUUUUGCAUAGUCAGCUAGUCUAAUGUACAGAAAAUAAAAAAAAAUCUUCAAAUUACAAACUAAAAUCCUUAUUGUUAACCAUGAAAAUUCAAAUUUUUCCUAAAAAAAAAAAACCAUAAAAAUUCACAUUUUAAUCCUUUUGUCAUUUGACUUCACCCAAAAAAAAAUUAAAAGUUUUCAGGCAAACACUUACGUUUCCAGACUCCAAAAAAUAGAAAAAUUAUAUGAACCCGGUGGCGAUCUUUCUGCUCACCGCGAAACUCAGACUCAACCAGGCGACGUCGACGGCGACAAACACGGAUGCUUCACAAUGAUAGGCAAUGUAGAGGUGUAUUGGUGCCGCUCAGAUUGAGCAUUCUGCAAUUUUGACGCCAUUCAAAGAUAAUUGCAAACCAUACUCAAAUCAUCAACAACCUUUCCUUGCCAUAACCAGGGCUUCAAGAAUUUUACGUAUUCAAAGCUUCAAAGGCAAUUUGGAUUCUAAUGGGAUAUUCAGAACUUCCCACCAAUGCAAAACUUUAUGUGGUAUAGCAAAACUUUAUGCAAAACUUUAUAUUCAGAGAGAGAGAAAGAGAAGGUUGUUUUACUGCAUUUGAAGAUAGAGUAUAUGCAAAAUCAGAACCAAAAAGUUUAAUGAGUAAAAGCUUUCAUGUAUCUAUUAAAAUACUUAAACAUGAUUUCACUUUUCAGAUAACAAACUCUCUUUAAUCCAUUUUACCAAAAUCUAACACAUUACAAAAUCAAAAUGCACCAAUUAAGCAUCAAUUUCACGUACGUUUUAAAAUCAACGACCACCAGAGAGAACGGAUUCAGCAAUAGACACAGAAGUAUACGGCAUUGUCUUGUCCUCAACACAUUCUUGGUACCCAAAAGUUAAACCAAAAGUAGAUAAACUAAGCGAAGACAAAUCUGGAAAGGGUAUAUCCGUCUCCAAAUACUGCACAACUUGCCUCAUACUUGGUCUAGCCAAAGGCUCUGAAUGAGAACACAACAAUCCAAGUUUCAACACCAACUCCACCUCUUCAGACACAUAAUCUGUCCCCAAAUUUACAUCUUUUGCCUCAAGAAUAUCACCUCUUUUCCAACACUCAAACACACAAUCAACUAGAAUUAGACUCUCAUAUUCUCCUACACGACCUAUAGGCCUCCUACCACAAACAACCUCAAGAAGAAAUGCACCAAAAGAAAACACAUCAGAAAAUUUAGUAGCCUUACCUGUUCUAAUAUGAUCAGGAGCAAGAUAACCAAAAGUUCCAACCAAAUGAGUAGUGUGAGGAUCAGCACCAUGAUCAUACAACCUUGAAAGACCAAAAUCUCCCAAUCUAGCAUUAAAUUCAGAAUCUAACAACACAUUACUAGCUUUUAUGUCUCUAUGGAUAACAACUUUCUCCCAUUCUUCAUGAAGAUAAACCAAACCUGAAGCAACACCUUUGAUGAUUCUAAAUCUUUGAAUCCAAUUCAACCUCACUUUUGGUUCGUUGUAUAAAUAGUUGUCUAAACUUCCAUUCGGCAUGUAAUCAUAAACCAAAAGUAACUCACUUUUUCGCCUGCAAUAGCCAUGAAGUUGAACAAGAUUCCUGUGUCGAAGACGACCGAUACUAACAAUUUCCGACACAAAUUCCCUCAUCCCUUGUUUUGAUUCAUUAGACACCCUUUUCACAGCAACCUCAAGUUUGGAACUUGGUAUCACACCUUUGUAGACUCUACCAAAUCCACCAACUCCCAGUAGCCCCUUUUCCCUGAAACCCUUCGUGGCAGAGUAUAGAUCUUUGAACUUAAAUCUAUGUGGGCCAUAUUCAUGUUCCCAAUCUUCAAGAACCUCAACAAACUUCUUCAAUUUGAUAUAAUACAUAACCCCUAAAGUUAUGAUGAAUACCAAACUUAGCAAUAUCAAAGGCAACCGAACAGUUAAAAAUUUGGACUUUUUUUUCUCAGCAAAUACUCUUUCUCCAGGAAGGUCAGAGAUUUCAAGGUUUUGAGAUUGGCCAUUAACCAUAAAACUCCAACCAUGAAUAUAAUGAGAAGCUGCAAUGAACCCUGUUGAAGAUGAGAAUCCAACAUACAUUCUAUUGUUGAGAAUUGGGGAAAGAUCUUUGGUCAAUGAUAACGUCGGUUGUGUUGGUUUAUGACUAAAACCAACACUAAAUGGAGCUAAGGUAACAUCAAUCUUUUUCUUCACUCUAUCAUAUUCAAUCCAUACUUGCAUAGGAUAUCCACUGGAGAGGGAUAAAUCCCUGAAUCGAUUAUAUUCAUCGUAAUAUCCUGCAGGAGUUGAAUUAGCUGAUUUCAAAUCAUUGAUAUCAAUACCAACAUGGUUAUCAUUGAUAUCAUCAAACUCACUACUUAGAAGAGUAUCAAGUUCAACACCAAAAACAUGGUUGCCACCGUUUCCAAUGUUGGAUUGGUUAAAGAGACCAAGGUAUUGACUUGGUAGUGAAUUUGGUAGCCCUUUUGUAGGAGAAAUAACGAAAACAAUUCCAUGGCCACUAAGAGUUGGAUAUGAAGAUUUUAUGGAAAAUACAAAAGUAGUUGAGAAAGAAGAAACACUUCCGCUGGAAGUGUUUUUGAAAACUAUAGGAUUUGGAUAGAAAGCUUGUCCUUUUUCUUGUUUUGUAUCAUUGGUGAGUCUUAGUAAGCCAGUUGAGGCUAACUCAGCGGUACCAUCAAGAUAUAAAUUUGAUGAUUGGAAUCCAUUAUAUUUAUAGAUGAAACUGUUGUCUAUACUUGCUACCAAUGUAACAUGAAAAAACAACAUGAACACAAGUUUGAUGAACAUGAUUAUAGUUUGUGAAUAAAUGAUGCUUCUGUAGUUCUGUUUGGUGUUUAUUAUUUAUAAGAUUUUGUGGUAAGUGAAAGAAAAAUUUCAUGUCUAAUUUGGGUCCUACUAAGAAAUGUCCUGGAACCUAGCUACGAAUUAUUUCUGAAAGAAACAUUUCAUGACCAGGUUACUAAAUUUGCCUUUAUCAUCUGAGUCCAACUAAGAAAUGUCUCAUUUAGUUUAGUAAAAAUGAAUGUGUCACACAUUUGAACCACAUUUUUUUUUUUCCAACUGUAGAAGCGGAUGAACGUUUUUCAAUAUUUACAUAUUUUAAAUGUUUGAUGCAAAAAUGAAUAUAUGAAAUUAAAACAUCAAUGUUUUCUAAUUUCUUCUGUACCAUUGGUGAGUUUUAGUCUGCUAGUUGAGUUUAACAAGAUAAAACAACAUGAACACAAGUCCAAGGAACAUGAUUAUUGGUUGUGAAUAUUGGGAAAAACCCAUGCCCUACAUCGGAUAGAUAAGACUCUUGGUAAGAGUUUAUAUAGAGGAGACAAUCCUCACCUUAUUGAACCUGUUUUGUAAGGUAGAGUUAGGCCCCCAAUUUCAUUAGUGAAUAAUAAUUCUUAUGCAGUUAUGUUCAGUGUUUAUUAUUUAUAAGAUUUUGUCCAAAGUGAAGAAAAAAUUGCAAGUCUUAUUUGGGUCCUACUAAGAAAUGUCCUGGAACCUAACUUAGCUAUGAAUUAUCACCAAAAGAAACAUCAAAUGGUUACUAAUAUUGCGUAUCUCAUUUGGGUCCUACUAAGAAAUGUCUCAUUUAGUUUAGUAAAAAUGAAUUUUUGUGUAACUCAUUUGGGACCAUUUGAAUAGUUGUGCACAUUUGAACCACCAUAUUUUUUCCCAAGUGCACAUUUUCAAUGUUUACGUAUUGAAUGUUUGAUGCUAAAUUGAAUAUGUGAAAUUAAAACAUCAAUGUCGUCUAAUUUCUUCAAAUAAGCGUAGUUUUUUUCUUCUUAAUUUCACACUUGAAUGUGUGGAGUUGACUGUUUACUAUUGACUUAUCUAAGUCUAUGAUUUGCUUGGUUGCUAAGAAAAUGAUGAAAGAAUACGUGGUGGAAGGGUGGAUAAAGAUAAUAUUGGUUUUGAAUCAAAAUUUCAUAUUUUUCUUCAUGGAAAAAUCAUAGGCCAUUUCAAGUCAGCCUGUUCCGUCGGUCAUAUGUGCUGGCAAGUUGCCCGGAGAUGGAGGUAAAUCAGGAGGCAAUUUACUCGGGAUUGACAGCUAUAAAAUACAGUUUUUGACAUAUUUGUUGAAUGUUGAGCAAUCUUUCUACUCUAAAAGAGAGAAUUUUUAAGGAAUUUAGAGGUUUAGAGUAACCUUAAUAACAUAAAUUUGUUCUCCAAAAACAUUACUGUCUUUUCAAUUUUCUGGUUCUUCUUCAUUUCUUCUCCACCACUUUAUCAUAGUUUCUGUUUUUCUUACCCUCGUUAUGGUGUUAUUAUGGGGCUUUUUCACACAUGCCCACAUCACCUAAAAUGAGCUUACCAUAUUUUCUACAAUGGGAGUUAUCUCAACUUUUUCUCUACUGUUUAUUUAAGUCAGGGUUAAAAACUAUGUAAUGGACUAAUUGUAAAAUCUAACUUUCUUUUUUAGGUGCUGCACUAUAUGUAAAGAGAAGUGACAUAUUGGCUCUCGCUAUAGGUAUGAUGAACACCAAAAACAUGGUUGCUACUAUUUCCAUUGUUGGAAUUGUUAAAGAGACCAAGGUAUUGACCUGGUAGUGAAUUUGGUUGCCCUUUUGUAGGUGAAAGUUGAAACAACAAAACAAUCCCGUGGCCACUAAGAGUUAGUUCUGGAUCUGGAGAUUUUAUGGCAAAUAAAAAAGUAGUUGAGAAAGAAGACACACUUUCACUAGAAGUGUUUUUGAAAACUAUUGGUUUUGGAUAUAAAGCAUGACCUUUGUAUUGUUUUGUAUCAUUGGUGAGUCUUGGUAAGCCACCUGAGGUUAACUCAGCAAUACCAUCAAGAUACAAAUGAAAUGAUUGGAAUCCUCUAUUAUUAUAGAUGAAACUGUUGUCUUCACUUGCUACCAAUGUAACAAGAAAAAACAACAUAAACACAAGCUUGAGGAACAUGAUUAUUGUUUGUGAAUGAACAAUGCUUCUGUAGUUCUGCUGUUCAAUGUUUAUUAUUUAUAAGAUUUUGUGCCAAGUGAAGAUGAAAAUACCAAUCUAAUUUGGGUCCUACUAAGAAAUGUCCUGGAACCUAACUCAGCUACGAAUUAUUACUAAAUAAAAGAAACAUCAAAUGGUUACUAAAAUUGCCUUUAUCAUCUUGAGUCAUACUAAGAAACGUCUCAUUUAGUUUAGUGAAAAAUGAAUGUGUUACACAUUUGAACCACAAAUUUUCUUUCCAACUGUAGUAGUGGGUAAAUGUUUUUUCAAUUUUUACAUAUUAAGUGUUUGAUGCUAAAUUGAAUAUGUGAAAUCAAAACAUCUAUGUCGUUUAUAGUUUUUUAUUUUUAAUUUCACACUUGAAUGUGUGGACUUGACCAGUUACUAUUGAUUAUGCUGCAAAUCAAUGUGUGGAAUUGGCCGGUUACCAUUGAUUAUGCUGCAAAUAAAAUGAUGAAUGAAUACGUUGUGGAAAGAUAAAAAGAUGGGAAUCGCUAUAUAGUGCGAAAAAUACAACUACGACUUGAAAUAACUGAUACUAGUAGAGUGACCCGUGCCAAGCACGGGAAAUAAAAACCUUUUUUUUUUAUCAAAUGUAUAGAUGUUAUCUUAAAGUUAUAUAAGUAUGGUUAUAAUUUAAAUUUGAUAUGGAAAAAAGUAUCAUCUUAAUUUUGUUAAUUUUGUAUAUAUUUAAAAAUAUCUAAACAUUGCACAUAACGACUAAAGUAUUUGGAUUUAUAUUUAUACUAAUUAUUUGUAGUAUAAGAUGUAAUCAUUGUUAAACUUAGCAUAUGUAAUAUUUUUGCAAAAAUACGCGGACGUACUGUAUAUUAUUAUUUGUUGACAUAAUGUAUUAUAUUAAUCAUAAAAACUAAAAAAAUUGUAUUUUUUUUUAUAUAAUAGUCAGUGUCAAAUGUAUACACCUAGUCUGUGAAUACAAAUGUUAAAUUUUUUACUGGUGUGUAUAAAUAUAGUUUGGGCUACAGAAACUCCGAUUGUUAUUUGUUUUUAUUUUUUACAAAACCAAUGGUCUAAUGUAAAUAUUGUAUUUUAGGGUAACAACGAAUUUUCACCCGAUCGACAAACAGAAACAGAACUUAAAUACUCUUUCUCUUCACCUGGAAUCAGUGACAUCAUAUAUUCGUUAACAUGCUCAACAGAAUCAAGCGUUGGUGCGAGUAUUCCCCUUUCUUGGAAAAAUAGCAGGUCACCAAGGUUAUCAUUUAAAUCGAGAUACACAAUGUCUAUAAGUGACAUCAACAGAUUUGUUGUGUCAGAUAUGAGCAAAUCUUCAAGAAUUUCUACCUUCAUUUCACCAUCUCAUCCGAAGCGACGUUGCCUUCUCUAAUUAAGAGUAUCCAAUUGCCAAAAUUAGCAAUUUAUUCCUGCUCUACAGGUACCAAAGAUGCACCCAAUCCCAUAUUAACAGUAAGCCUCAACACAUUACAAUAAGCUCAUAUCUUUGAUGAACUGAUUGAGGCAUCAACAAUAUCAUGCCUCGUUCCUUUUCGGAUGACAUGCAAUAUCUGCAUGAAAUCACCACCUAAAACUUUUGUCUUUCCACCAAAAGGUCUAAACUCGUUUAGGGGAUCAUUCUUGGACAUGAUAUCACGCAUUGAUCGAUCAACUGCCUCAAAACACCAUCGGUGCAUCAUUGGAGCCUCAUCCCAAAUUAUCAACUUUGCUACAUGCACCAGGUCUUCCCUAGGACUAUCCUUUUCAAUCGUAAGCGAUGAUGCCUCAUUAAUCUCAAUAGGGACUGUCAGCGUCGAGUGCGCGGUUCUUCCACCUAGUAAGAGAAGAGCCAAUGGGCAAUGUUUUCCCCUUCGAUCUAAUAGCAGCCGACAAUGUUUUCCAUAUAAUUUUUUUUCGAGGACCACUGUAACCAUAUAAGAAAAAGAAACCACCGUCGUCAGAACCAACGGACUCCAUGAUCUUGUCAUACACACAUCUUUGUUCAUUAAUCAGCAUUAGUAACAUAUCAGCGUGUGUCUUUUUCAGUUCAUCUUUGUUGUAAUUUAGCUCAUCAAUGAUAAGCUUGUUUGUGAAAGUUAGCAUAUCUGUUGCGUUUAGCCUGGGCAUAGAUUUUAAGUCAGUAAUCGACCGUCCGUUUUCCUGAAGCAGCAUUUCAAUUUCAAUCAAACACAGGUUCUUCAAGUCAACGUCACCGAUACGUAGAUCUGCAUAUUAAAUGUAAAGUCACAAAAUUAAUAUUAACACCUUUGCAUGCAUAUGUGUGCACGUUGAAGAGAAAGAAAAAAUAUUAGCUUUAUAUGAGAGUCCGUUAUAUUUAAACAUAUCAGCCUAAAAAAUAUGGAAAAUGUUGAAUGGUGUCGUAGAGUUAGUAACUCUUAGUUUGUUCUUUACCAUGUCCUAAAAAAAGUACCUCUUAACUCCUUAAACUACACUAAUCAGCCUUUAUUAUAUCCUAAAAUACACACCCCUCGAAAACAACCUUGUCAUCAAGGUUGGAAUGUGCUAAAUUUCUUAAUGUGUAAUAGUCUUCAAAUGUAUCACCCUUAUCCCUAUUUUUUAUUAGUGAAGUACUAUUUUGAUUCUCACUUUAAUUUGAACUCUUUGGUUCCACCAAGAUUCUUUACUCCUAGCUAAGUCCAAAACCUAUUGAUUCUUCUAGUGUCUCUUUUGCUACUUUUCUAAUCUUAUAUGUCAUCUUGUUCCACGUAUCAUUUUCGCUUAUAUGUAACUUCACACAACCUUCCUUCAAAAUCUUUUGUAGGAAAACACUUUGGUUUUGAUCCUUUAAAUGUCACCACUUGAUCUUUGUAUCUCAAUCAUGGCCUCUCAUCUCCGCUCUUAUCUUAACCCUUACAUCCAUAACCAAUAUUAUAUGUUGGAUAGUCAAACUCUCUCCUUGUAAAACUUUAAAUUCUAACAAAUAUUUCUGUCAUAAUUCCAAAUAAGAAAUAAAUCUAUUUGAGAACAUGAAAUCCCACUCUUUUAUGUAAUAAAUUUCCUUUUUAUUUUCCUAAAGUAAGAUUUAAAGACUACAAAAAAUCUAGGAUGGAUUUACCCUAUGCUUUUAUGUCCUCAUGGCCAUACCCUCGUUCACGCCUUUAAAACUUAUCAAACACUCCUUACAUGCCCAUUUAGAUCCCCUCCUAGAAAAAUAUUUUCUCCUUCUGGUAUAUCUUGAAUUAAACCUUUCAAAUCCUUCCAAAAUUUAACUUUAGAAUAUUCUUCCAAACCUACCUAAGGUGCGUAAACACUCAUAACAUCAAAGAUGUCUUAUUUCCUUUUAAAAAAAUAAAAAAAUAAAGAUGUCUUAUUAAACUAAAAAUUUGUGGGAUACAAUCAAAUCUCACAUCCUCUUUACAUCCACAAUAUCCUUUUUCAAUUCCUUAUCCACAAUAAUGCCUACACCAUUUCUCGAUCUAACUUUUCCAAUUUAUCAAUGCUUAGAUCUUGAACUAUCUAAUUCUUUUGUCUUUUCACCUACCCACAUAGUUUCUUGUUGGCACAUAAAAUUAAUUUUCAUUUUAGUGAUAGCAUCAACUGUUUCCAAUUUAUUCCAUGUUCUAAAACGGGUCAUACUCUCAUUAACUAACUUCUUUACCCACACUCGUUCACAAAGAUGUGGAGACCCUUGCUUAUUUUUUACUGCAUUCAGGCAGUGAUAUAUCCAUCCUUGCUCAUUUAACAUUGUAUGUGAGCUAUACAAUGUGUUUCUUCUACGCAUUGACCCAGUGUUCACACUAUUAUAUACUCGGUCCAUGUCAUAGAGAUUCAAAGUGUUUCAAUUAAAUUCAAGUGUUCAAAUUUUAAUUAAAUUCCACCUCUGAUCAAUGAUAGUUAAUUAUGUACUGGAAUGUCAGUGGUGUUAGUAACUCGGACACCAAAGUGGCCUUGAAAAAUCUUUAUGUAUCUCAUAAACAUGACUUUAUUUUCUUGGUUGAACCUAUGAUUAGUUUCUCGCUUGUUCCUUCUUGGUAUUGGCAUGAUAUUGGAGCUACUAAGAGUUGUCUGAAUGAUAGAGGUCAUAUCUCUGAUCAAUGCAUUGCUAUUGAAGUCCAUCAGAAUUUCAGCAAGAUAUUUAUGCGGACCGGUGUGGUUUACCUCAGUUUAGAUUUCCGUAGGAGGCUGUGAUUUUGGCUCUUUUUCUCUUUUGUAUGUUUUUUUUGUUGGUUUUCUGUUUUUUUUAGGGUUUUGGCCUAGUCCCCCUCUUGUAAUUUCCCCCCUUUUUUUUAAUAAAAUUUGAGAUUGGCGGUAUAGGAUGGGAGUUCAUCGGGUGUCAACCUAGUUGGGAUGUCGUUGAUGCAUGUCCUCUCUCCUGAUUUACCUAAAAAAAAUUGUAGAAUCUAGUCAAAGUCUUGAAAUUUGUAUAAUAUAGAAUGUCAUUUAAUUAUAUAUAUUUUUAAGAUUUUUUUUAAAAAGUUACGCGUAAUUAUUUAUUGAUCCAACCUAAUGAAACUUGAUGGUAUCGGGUAAUAGAUUACAAUGAAAACCGACUCAUCCCGUGAACACCUGUAGGCGUGCAUACUGAAACAUGUUUGCUUAAUUUUUUAUUUAUUUUUAAAUAGGUAUCAUCAUCAAAGGAACUCUCUUCAGUUCAUUUAAUUGAUUUUUCCAAAAAACACAAAAAAAAUAUAAAAUUAUGAUUGUAACAAAAAAAAAAAAAGAUCAAGUAUAGUGGUAGAAUUAACACACAAAAAAAGUAGAGUGGUAGAAUGUCAAAUUAUGAUUGUAACAAAAAAAAAAAAUUAUGACUAAUAAUUGCAUUCCAUCAAAGUUGUUACUUCCACAUUAAAAUUGCCAGUAAUAAAAAUGGAAUUAACACCUGACAAAAAAAAUAAAAUGGAAUUAACAUUUUGUAAAAGAUAAAAAAAAAUAACAUUUUUUCAUAACACAAUUCUUUUUCUUUUUCUUAAAUAAUUCAUAACCAAUUCUUAUUUCCUUUACAAUAACCUUAUCAAGAAAAUGCAAUUGAUAUACAAUGAAGUUGCAAAAUCAUUUCAUUAUCCAGCAUGUGUAUAAUAGUGUAUUCUUUUCACUUUUAUAUGAUAGAAAAGAAUGUUACAAAAAAAAAUUUUGGUACAAAAGAGGGCCAAAGUCCAAAGAAUGUUACAAUUUUAUUUUUUGGUCAAUAAGAAUGUUACAAUUUAAAAGUGACAUUAAUGAUUUAAAUUAAUAUAUUCUUUUCACUUUUUUCUGUAAGAAAAUAAAUAUUUUGUUGAACCUUUUUUAUUUAUUGGUUACCCAUCCAUCACUGACUGCACAUAUUUUGAUGAAACUUUAAAAUAGCACUUUAUGAUUUUUUAUAAAAUUUUCAUGAAUAGGAAUGAUUAAAAUUCUUUAAUAACAUGACUCUUGUUACCUUUUUCAACAAACAUAUCAAAUAGGUAUUAAAAUAGAACAUCAAAAUUUGAAAUUCGAAUUAAAAAAAUAUAAUAUUUAAGUAAAAAAUAUCAAUUUUGAAUUACGGUGUUUUCGAAUUCAAUAUAUUUUUUGGUGAGUUAAUUUUAGUAAUUAACAUUAAGAUGUUAAUUAAUAAAAAAUUAAUGGUAUUUUUUUUUUGAUAAGCAAGGAGAGAAGACAGACAUUAAUGGUAUUUGUACGUUGAGACUAAAGAUUUUUUUGUGGUCAACUUUGAGAGUGAAAUUUAAAAACGAUUUUUUUUUUAACUUGGUUUAAUGAUUCAAUACUAUUUUUAAUUUUGACACCAAUAUUAAUAAUAUGAUCUGAAGAAAAAAAAUCAUCGCCUAACUUUUCUCAAUUUGAUGACAAUUUGGUUAUUCCCUUUAAAAUUUGUAGUCAGAUUGUUACAUCUUGCGAUCAUACUCUUUUGAAAAUAAUUAAUUCUCAUUAAAACUAAUAACAUACUCUUUGGUAAUCAUUUUUAUGAUUUAGUCAAUUUUUUUUUUGAAAAAUAAGAUUUCAUUCGAUCAUCAAAUGUUUUUAUCCAGAAUAAAAUAAAUGAAUAUACUUAGGUCCUUGAUGUUAUAUAACUAAUUGUAUCAAAACAAAAAAAAGAGAAAAUAACAUUGAUAUAUAUUGUUGCAGAUGUCAACGUUUGAUCUUUAUAAGAAUAUAUAGAUCACAUAAUUAUGAAAAAGAAAAAUCAAAGCAUAAACCAUGAAAUGUCAAUUAGAAAGAAUGAUUGUUCACAAAUACAAAUCAUUUUUCCUUUGUACAAACAUAAGAAUAACUAUAAAAUUUCUAUUACAUGUAUAUAUAUUUUUUUCUGUACAAACAUAAUACAUAACUACAAAAUUUCAAUUACAUGUAAAAGUCCCAUGCAUUAAGUGUUUAGAAAAAUACAAACUGAAAUAAGAUGACAAAUGGACUAUCAAACACAGUAGAAAUUCAAUUACAUAAUAUUUAUAAAUGAUUAACACUCCUAUGUGAAAAUCCCUUUGCUUUUGAUUGUGAUUCAGCGAAUUUGUAGAAAUGCAAUGUGUUUGAUCAUGAUUCUCUAUCAUAACAAAAAUGAAAAAUAGAAAGAAAAAAAAAGUGAUACAAGUGUGUCUUGUGAAAUUAGACCGAUUCGGAUGUCUAAUAUAUAGACGUAUUUCACUAGGUAAUUUGGUAAUGUGUCAUUUUAUUGAAAUAUGAAACAUUUAUUUUGGUGAAUCAUUUUAUUAAUUUUAGAUGCGUUUAUUAAUUUGGGUGAAACAUAUUUUUUGAAAACAUUUUAAUGCACCGAAGGAUAUUUUGGACUGCAUUUUUAAUAUUUGUUAUGAUUAAGUAACACUUCCACUUAUAAAAUAAGUAACGCUUUUUGUACAAAAAAAACAGUAACAUAUGAACAAAUAUUUUUUUUUUUUUUAAGCAAGGAGAGGACAUGCAUAAGGAGUCAUCAUCGACAUCCCAACUAGGUUGGCACCCCGAGAUACCUCUAUCCUAUGCCGCCAAACUCAAAAAAUUUAUUAAAAAAAGGGGAAAAAGUUACAUACAAAAAGGUGGGGGGACAAUACCAAAACCCACAAAAAAAAAAAGCAGAAAACAGAAAAAGAAACAGAAAAAUACAAAUAAACAACCCAAAAGUAGAUUAAGGGAAUCUAUAAUUGGGUAACCCACAACUAUCCUAUAAAAAUCAAUUUUCACCUCAUUUGGAAGAGUGUCAAUCCAAAUCUCACCAAUAAAAAAUCAUUGGGCAUGCGGGUUAGUGUCACCCCGUGCACGGGAUUUGGAAGGCUGCUUGGAUAAAACGUGUUGUACCUUAAGUUUUUGUUUCUGAUUUCGUGUAAGAACAGGCAUGAAACCAUCAUGUGCUUCAGCUGCUGAUCUUGCAUCAUAUUCACAUAUGAACAAAUAUAAAAUUGACCAAAUUAAAAGUAAUAUUAAUACAUAUUCAAUGUACUUAAAAGUGAGAUUUCAGUGUUAUUUUCUUUGAUUCAAUUUGAUUAAUGCAUAUUCAAUGUACUUCCGUUUUUCUUUUCUGUCCUAAAAUAAAAAUUGAAGAGUUUAAUAAAAUUUCUUUAAAAAAAAGAAGAAUAGUUUAGAGAAAUAAAAAUGUGAAUAAUAUUUGUUUUAGUACUAUUAUUUUUUUUUUUAGAUUUUAUACUUUAUGAUAAAUUAUAAAUUUGAUCAUCUUUUUAAUAGGUUAAAAGAAUAUAUACAAUUUUUCUGCAUAUUUAAAAAUAUUAUAAUUGAAAUAUGAUAUCAUGUAAAACAGUCUCGUUAAAAUUUCAUUAUUUACUAUCAAUUAUAAAAUAUACGAUAAUAAAAUUCUCUCACAAUAUUAUUAAUAUAUUAUCAUCAUGAAAAUAAAAAAAAAAUUUGUUCAUUUGUUUAAUUUAUAAAUUCAUUACAAUGUGAAUUGGCCAACAAAAAUCAAUUUGAUAGGGUAGCAAUUGGUCAAUGUCAAAAUAAUAUUUUGUAUAAAGAAUAUUAAUAUUGCAUUUCAUUAUAAUAUAAAUGAUACAUAUGGUUACAAAUAUUAAUAUGGAAGAGUAUUGAAAACCAAAUGCAUGAGGAUGAUAGGUUUGUUCAGAACUAUAAUUCAAUAAAGAUAAUAUUUAAAAAUAAUAAAGAUAAUAAUUUGUUCAUUUCAUUAAUCCAAUAUUCCUUUAUUAUUCAUUUUUCAUUAAUUGUCAAAUGCACGAAAAUGCUUGGUUUGGUUUAUGAUGCCACAUGUCACUUUAAAAAAAUAAAUAUUUGGUUUGAUUUAUGAUGCCACAUGUCAACACCAAGAGAAAAGAAAAUUACUUCUAUAUUAGGACUUGAAAUAGGUCCUAAAUUUAUACUAUAUAGAUAUAUAGAUAUCUUGUAUAUAUAUAGACUUGAUACAUUGGUUUUUGCUUAUACAUAAGACCAAAAAAAGUAUGUUGGUUUUGACUCAAUUUCAUACUCACUAUUUACAAAAAAUAAAAAAAUAAAAAAGUCCCUAAAUAUAAGACACACUAUAAAUUAUUAGAUGCAUUUGUUACUUUUUUUUUCUUCCAAAAUACCUCUUAUUAAUACUAUCAAUUUAUUUUGGAAUAUGAAAAGUUACAUUGAAUGCAAAUAAACAAAAUGUAAUUUAGUCCUCCUUCCGACUCACAAUAGAAAAUGUAAUAUUCAAUUCCAUAAUAGACUAUUUUUUCAAUUAAAAUAUCAAGGGUUUUAUUAUCAAGAAUACCUUAAUUUCUAGGAUCAUAGAUAUCUUAAGAGGGAUGAAGUAGUUAUCGAUACUUACGUCAAUAUUUGACAUAUAAAAAAUAUUAUCAUUGUCAUUGAUGGGAUCGUCAUCUUUUAAAUUUUCAUUAGAUUGUUCGACAUUAUUUUCUUCUACGACCAAUCCAUCGUUAUUCGAAGACUUUUCUACUUGUUUACAACUUUGUUUUAAUCUCAUGUGCAUUUAUAUUUUGUUGCAAAUUAGAAUUUUGAACUCCCUUUAGUAACAUCACGUGAUAAAUUCUAACUUAAACAUGCGUUCAUUGUGAAUGUCAAUGCUACAUAGUCUAACUUAAACAUGCCUUCAUUGUGAAUGUGAAUGUCGACGGGUGAUUACUGAUUAGUAUGCAUGUCACACUGAAUCUACGAUUAAAAUGAGUUGCUGAAAUCACGUAGAAUUUCUGUUUCAUGAGUGUUGUGUUCAUCAACUGACUAGAAGAAAGGCUUAAGUGGGCUUUUCCUACUAGGUGCUUCAACUGUCGUCCAUAUCUUGCGUCUUGCGGGGUCGGCGUUAAUAAAUUUUUCCGAUUAAAAAAAAAGUGUUUCAUCUGUCUUACAUGGAUUAAGGCAUUCUUUAGAGUUUAGUGCAUUUCAAAUAUGGUCCAUACAUUUCUUUAGAGUUUAUGCAGACCCACACAACGAAUGACUCUUUCGCGGCUCAAAUCGGCAUAAAGUUGGAUGGCUCUAACUAUCCAGUAUGGUCCCAAAUUGUUGAGAUGUAUAUCUCUGGAAAGGACAAAUUGGGGUAUAUCAAUGGACAUCUGCCACAACCUCUAUCAACAGACCCGGGUUUUCGGAAAUGGAGGACUGAAAACGCAAUUAUGAAGGGGUGGCUGAUCAACUCGAUGGACACAUCUCUGAUUUCCAAUUUCAUUUGAUUUCCAACUGCAAAAAUGGUAUGGGAUUCUAUAUCUACAACUUAUUUUGAUGGUUCUGACACAUCUCAAGUUUAUGAUCUAAAAAGACAGGUGACCAAAAUAAAACAGAAUGGAAGAUCCAUAGAAAAAUAUUGCAAUGAUCUUCAAAGGUUCUGGAGAGAAAUUGAUUUUCGUCGUCCUAACCCAAUGGUGUGUCAAAUUGAUAUACAAAAAUAUAAAUCAAUCAUACAAGAAGAUCGAGUGUAUGUUUUUCUUGAUGGGUUGGAUGACCGACUAGAUAAAAUUCGAAGUGAUGUGCUUCAGUUGCAACCAUUUCCUACUGUUGAACAGGCCUAUGCUCAUGUAAGAAGAGAAGACAUUAGACAGGAAGUAAUGAUAACAGGAGCAGAGAACAGUUUUGGCGUUGUUAUGCCCUCUAAAGGAGUCAAGAUUGAAAAAAACCACUGCCUUCUCUUCAUAUGUCUCCUUCACUUGAGGGUAGAAAACCAAUUGCAGCCUCUAAGACCAAGGCACCAUCAGAAGGUGGAGGAUGCACUCAUUGUGGAAAGUUGAAGCAUACACAUGAAACUUAUUUCAAGUUACAUGGGUACCCAGAAUGGUGGAACGAAUUCAAAGCAAAGAAACAACAUGAAGCUGCUACUAAUGGAGGGUCUGCCCGAGUUGCAUUAAUGAAUUCAGAGCCUCAAUUAUCUUUCAUUUAAUCUAUAGAAUCUCAUAACACUGAAAAGACAAAUAAUGAACAAGGUAACUAUGGUUAUGCAUUUCUUAAUUCUAACCAGGAAGUUGAUAAUGGUUGGAUAAUUGAAUCAAGAGCAACUGACCACAUGACAUUUGAUUCGAGUGAAUUUACCAAAAUCACUCUGAUAAGUGCUAGAAAGUUGUAUUUUAAAUUAAUAUUCAAAGCACUUUUAUUACUUGUUUUGCAAGUUAUUGAGGGAAAAGCCGAGAGAUAGGUGAUUAUUGCCCUUUUACGCUUUAUCUAUCUUACUUCACCCAUUUGUGCAGAAUUGGAACUCAAGACAUCAAGCAAAGUACAAAGAGGCAGGAUAUGAAGUCACUCGCCUCCAACUCGCCAUGGCCAGUCAAAGGUGAGCAAUUCCAGUAGCCAACAAAGAUCCCACGCCACCAACUCGCAAUGGCGAGUAAAAAGCGGGUACGUUCGCCAUGGCGAGAUCAAGGCGAACUUCAGAGGCGAGCAAUUCCAAAGAGCAUCGGUGUUUCACUCGCCUUCAGCUCGCAACAGCGAAUGAAAGAAGGAGCAACUCACCAUGGCGAGGGAAUGUACUCGCGAGGCGAGUUAGGGCGGCUUAGGCUUCUCACAGCUGACGUGGCACAAACCCAAUGGUGAAGGAACUUCACUCGCCCUGGCGAAUGAAGGAGCUCGCGAGGCGAGUUGAUGCAGAAUUAAAAUUUUAUAAAUAGCUCAUUCAAUCAUUUCAUUUAGGACACUGAGUUUUUCAUAGUUUUUCACUUGUAAUAUUCUUAGAGAGAGAGAUAGGGCUUGUUCUUGAUAGAGUGAGAGUGAUAGAAAGUGGAUUAUACAUCAUUUUGUUGAGAGAUCACAAGUGUGUAAUGGAUCCUUCCCUUUCAAUUCAUUCUUGCAAGGCUUCCAUGACAAUGAGUAGCUAAAUCUCCUUUGUUGGGAUUAGAGGUACUUGAUCUUAGCUUAACAUGUAAUCUUUUGAUCUAUAAAUAUAUGGUUCUAGCAUUUGAUUUGAUAUUGAUGUUAUUCUUGCACUUUAAUGCUUAUGUUUGAUUUAAUUGUGAUUGAGAAAUACUUUUGAAUCUAGGUUUAGAAUAAUCAUCUAUCAAAACAUAGGUUCUAGACAUGGAAUUGAUGUUNNNNNNNNNNNNNNNNNNNNNNNNNNNNNNNNNNNNNNNNNNNNNNNNNNNNNNNNNNNNNNNNNNNNNNNNNNNNNNNNNNNNNNNNNNNNNNNNNNNNNNNNNNNNNNNNNNNNNNNNNNNNNNNNNNNNNNNNNNNNNNNNNNNNNNNNNNNNNNNNNNNNNNNNNNNNNNNNNNNNNNNNNNNNNNNNNNNNNNNNNNNNNNNNNNNNNNNNNNNNNNNNNNNNNNNNNNNNNNNNNNNNNNNNNNNNNNNNNNNNNNNNNNNNNNNNNNNNNNNNNNNNNNNNNNNNNNNNNNNNNNNNNNNNNNNNNNNNNNNNNNNNNNNNNNNNNNNNNNNNNNNNNNNNNNNNNNNNNNNNNNNNNNNNNNNNNNNNNNNNNNNNNNNNNNNNNNNNNNNNNNNNNNNNNNNNNNNNNNNNNNNNNNNNNNNNNNNNNNNNNNNNNNNNNNNNNNNNNNNNNNNNNNNNNNNNNNNNNNNNNNNNNNNNNNNNNNNNNNNNNNNNNNNNNNNNNNNNNNNNNNNNNNNNNNNNNNNNNNNNNNNNNNNNNNNNNNNNNNUUUUAACAUAAGCCCUCAAGGACCCUACCAAGACCUCCUGAAACUUUUAACUGACCAAGGGUGGGGAAGACUGCUCCAACCUAUCACCGACCUCAAAGCUGAGCUCGUGCGUGAAUUCUACACCAAUGCUCUUCCCAAAAACCUAACCGACCCAUUCAUCUUUAAAACCUAUGUGAGAGGUAGAACCAUCCGCUUCGAUCGAGAAGCAAUUAACACAUAUCUUGGUGACCCAUUUUCCGCUAAGUGAUGAGGAUGAUAUGGAUGAAUUCCAUGAAAACCAAAACAGAGGCACCUUUGACAUUGAUCCAAUGAAAGAAACAAUGAAGAGGGGUAUCUUGUUAGAGGGUACAACAUAUGAUGUGAGCGAUGCUAGCAGAGAGUACCGCGCCCAUAAUGAGUCCGGGGAAAGCGAGGCGGGUUUUUGGUUCACCUUUUCCUUGAAGUGUGACAAGCUUCAAUUCCCAAGCAAUAGUGUGGGCUAUGUCGACUUUGAUGCCCUUGAGAAUGUAGUAGAUUAGUGGGCAUACAUCCACGAUACAAUCGGACAAGUGGCUGUUGGGUUUGACAUUGUGAAGGAUAAACUUCAGGAUGAAUUUAGAGGUGUUGUUCAUAAAUUUAUACUGAGCGCGGUACUCUCUGCCAGCAUCGCUCACAUCAUAUGUUGUACCCUCUAACAAGAUACCCCUCUUGAUUGUUUCUUUCAUUGGCUCAAUGUCAAAGGUGCCUCUGUUUUGGUUUUCAUGGAAUUCAUCCAUAUCAUCCUCAUCACUUAGCGGAAAAUGGGUCACCAAGAUAUGUGUUAAUUGCUUCGCGAUCGAAGCGGAUGGUUCGACCUCUCACAUAGGUUUUAAAGACGAAUGGGUCGGUAAGGUUUUCGGGAAGAGCAUUGGUGUAGAAUUCACGCACGAGCUCAACUUUGAGGUCGGUGAUAGGUUGGAGCAGUCUUCCCCACCCUUGGUCAGUUAAAAGUUUCAGGAGGUCUUGGUAGGGUCCUUGAGGGCUUAUGUUAAAAACUUUCUCGGGGGUUAUAUUAUGUGGAUGAUUUCAGUUCUGGUAGAGCCCAUCAUAUGCGUCACAAUACUGAUACUAAGGAAAGGCAAAUAUGGCUAUGGCAUCAUCGGGCAUCUAUCCUUUGGUUAUAUGAAGUAUUUACUACUUGAUUUAUUUUCACAUGUACACGAUACAGAGCUAAAAUUUAAUACUUGUAUUUUAUCCAAAAAUCAUCGUGUAUCUUAUCCAAUUAGCUUGAAUAAAAGUAAUGUUCCUUUUUCAUUGGUCCACUCUGAUGUUUGGGGGCCUUCCCCAAUAGCUACUGUUUCUGCCAUUCGUUGGUUUGUGAUAUUUGUCGAUGAUUGUACUCGAAUGACUUGGUUAUAUACAUUGAGCCGUAAAGAUGAUGUCUUUAGUGUUUUUCAAACAUUCCAUGCAAUGAUUAAGACACAAUUUUCAGCUAAACUUCAGAUUCUUCGUUCUGACAAUGGUGGAGAAUAUAUCAACAAGGAUUUUCAAGCUUAUUUCCAACUUCAUGGACUUAUUCAUGAAACUUCUUGUGCUCAAACACCACAACAAAACGGGGCUGCAGAACAGAAGCACCGACAUAUCCUAGAAACAGCUCGUGCUCUCCUAAUUGGUGCUCAUAUGCCUCGUAGUUAUUGGACAGAUGCAAUAGCUACAGCUGUACAUUUGAUAAACUGAACAUGUUCCACUACCUACUGUUUUAAUGAUCCAUCCAUGAGUCUUUGGAUGUGUUGCCUUUGUUCAUCUACAUAAAAAUCAACGCACUAAACUUGAUCCUUGUACUGUUCGAUGUGUUUUUCUAGGAUAUGGCCCCCAUAAGAAGGGAUAUCGUUGUUACAAUCCAAUCACGAAACGGACCUACAUCACCAUGGAUGUCACAUUUGUGGAAUCUGAAUAUUUCUAUUCCUUUUCACCCAUAUCUAAUUCUCCUCUUCAAGGGGAGUUACAAGAUGAAGAGCAAAAUUGGGUAAAUUUGCCACCAUAUGAAGAUGACCCUAUACAUGAAGAAGUGAGGUUGGCUGUGCAUACUUUUGAAUCUGUUGAACCUGACCUUAUGAUGACUGAUGAAGAGCAGAGAAAAGUGAAUGAUUGUAGUGCGACACAAGUUGUUGAACUAGAAGCUGAAAUUGAAAAUAAGUCAAAUCAUCAACUCACUUCUUAGUACAUGAUGACCCAUCUCUUGAGAAUUGUCCUGAGGUAAAUAUUCCUACUCCAUAUCCUCGUAUAAAUGAUUUAGAUACAUCUGUCCGUUACAACUUACCUUUUAGACAGAGUCGUGGUAAGCCACCUAAGCGGUACUCCCUAGAUUUUGAGAAGAAAAUGUCAAAAUAUCCAAUUGCUAAUUAUGUAUCUACUCAUAAAUUAUCAGAACCUGUUAAAGCUUUUGUGCAUACUUUGUCCUCCUUCCAUGUUCCUAGUAGAAUACAAGAAGUCUUAACAGAUCCAAAGUGGGUACAAGCAAUUAAUGAGGAAAUGGAUUACUUACAAAAGAAUAAUACAUGAUGUCUAGUUUCAUUACCAAAAGGAAAAAAAACAUUAGGGUGCAUAUAGGUUUUCUCUAUUAAGCACAAAGCAGAUGGAUCCAUUAAAAGGUACAAGGCAAGGCUGGUGGCAAGGGGGUACACCCAAACAUAUGGUGUGGAUUAUAAAGAAACGUUCUCACCAGUAGCAAAACUAAACACUAUUCGUGUUUUGUUGUCAUUAGCAGCGAAUUUAGACUGGCCAUUGCAUCAAUUUGAUGUGAAAAAUGCAUUCCUUCAUGGAGAUAUCGAAGAAGAAGUCUAUAUGGAUAUUCCACCAGGGUACAACACAUCUUCAAAGGCUGAAGUAGUGUGUAAGUUGCAACGAGCAUUGUACGGGCAUGGUUCGGUCGAUUUAGUGCAGCUAUGAGAAUGUAUGGUUUUCAACAAAGUAAUUUUGACCAUACUCUAUUUUUGAAACACCGUUUGGGAAAGGUAACAGCCUUAAUAAUAUAUGUGGAUGGCAUGAUCAUUACAGGGGAUGAUAUGGAAGAAAUAUCAAGACUCCAAGAGCAAUUGGCAACUGAACUUGAGAUGAAAAAUCUUGGAGGACUUAGGUAGUCUACCUUGCACAACUUAGAUAGUGCCGCGAAACGUCUUAAAGAAAGCGACCUGAUCGUGACUCACCCCGGUAAUAGUUUCAAAGCUCUGUCAUAAUUUGAAAAUUACAAAAACAACACACCCUUUUCACAACAACCUCAAGUUUGGAAUUUGGUAUCACACCUUUGUAGACUCUACCAAAUCCACCAACUCCCAACAGCCCCUUUACCAUGAAACCCUUUGUGGCAAAGUAUAUAUCUUUGAACUUAAAUCUAUGUGGGCCAUAUUCAUGUUCCCAAUCUUCAAGAACCUUAGCAAACUUCUUCUGUUCGAUAUGAUACAUAAUCCUUAAAGCUAUUAUGAAUAGCAAACUUAGGAAAAUCAAAGGCAACCCAACAGUUAAAGUUUUUGACUCUUUUUUCUCAUUAAAUAUUCCUAGUUCAGUAGCAAAUAUUCUUAGCUCAGGAAGUUUAGAGAUUUCAAGGUUUUGAGCUUGGCCAUUAACCUUAAAACUCCAACCAAGAAUAUAAUGGGAAGCUACAAUUACCCCGGUUGAAGAUGAGAAUCCAACAUACAUUCUAUUGUUGAGAAUUGGAGAAAGAUCUUUCGUGAAUGAUAACAAAGGUCGUGCUGGUUUAACAACAUUACAACCAAAAUUAAUUGGAGCUAAUGUAACAUCAAUAUUUUUCUUCACUCCAUCAUAUUCUAUCCAUACCUGCAUAGGAUAUCCACUAGAAAGGGAUAAGUCGUUGAAUCGACCAAUAGCAUUAUAGUAUCCUGCAGGAGUUGAAUUAGCUGAUUUCAAAUUAUUGAUGUCAAUACCAGCAUGGUUAUUAUUGAUAUCAUCAAACUCAAGAUCUUGAAUAGUGUCAAGCUCAACAGCAAACACAUGGUUGCUAGUGUUUCCAAUGUUGGAAUCGUUAAAGGGACCAAGGUAUUGGUUUGGAAGUGAAUCUGGUAGCCCUUUUGAUAUUCAGAUUUUAUGGCAAAUAAAAAAGUAGUUGAGAAAGAAGACACAGUUUCACUAGAAGUGUUUUUGAAAACUAUAGGAUUUGGAUAGAAAGCAUGUGCUGUAUCUUGCCCGAUAUCAUUGGUGAGUCUUAGUAAGCCAGUUGAAGUUAACUCAGCAAUACCAUCAAGAUAUAAAUGUGAUGAUUGGAAUCCUUUAUAGAUGAAACCGUUGUCUUCACUUGCUACCAAUGUAACAAGCAAACAUAACAUAAAGACAAACUUGAGGAACAUGAUUUUAGUUUGUGAAUGAACAAUGCUUGUGUAGUUCUGUUCGGUGUUUGUUAUUUAUAAGAUUUUGUGCUAAGUGAAGGAAAAAUUGCAUGUCUAAUUUGGGUAAAUAAAAUAACCAUCACAUGGUUACUAAAAUUGCAUCCAACUCCUAUUAAGUAAUGUCUUGUUUAGUUUAGUGAAAAAAAUGUGUUACACAUUUGAACCACAAAUUUUCUUUCCAUCUGUAGUAGUGGGGGAAUGUUUUUCAACGUUUAUAUAUUCGAAGUCUUGAUGCAAAAUUGAAUAUGUGAAAUUAAAACAUUAAUGUUGUCUAAUUUCUUAAAAAGGUUAACGGUGUUUUGUUCCCUCUAAUAUAGGUUAUUUCUGGUUUACCAUCUUGCAAUUUUUUUUUUAAUCAUUUUUAUAAUUUGAAGAUUUUUUGGUUUUGGAUCUUCAUGGCUUCAAGUUACAAAAUUUAUGGUACUUUCGUCCAUGUAAUUUGAGCAAAUUUUGGUUUACCCCUGUAAUUGAGCAAAAUUUGGUUUAUCCUAUGUCAUAAUUUGUAAAGGUCCAAAACCAAAAAAAUCAAAUUACAAAGGUGGAAUCUAAAAAACAUAUUUUACAAGAUAGUAAAUUGAAAAUGAUUUAUAUUACAGGGAAUAAAACAUUAUUAGCCACUCUUAAAAUAAGUUUUUUUUUUUUUUGGUACAAUGAUAAGUAUUUUAAUUUCACAAUGAUAAUAAAUAUGUGUCACAUUUUUUAUGUUUAUUGAUGAUGAAUAUAUGUCCGGUGUUUUUUAUGUAUAAAUGAAAAUAUAUUUAUGGGUUUCAUAUCAUUGAUGAACCACAACCAUGGACGUCCUUUCAUAGCAUCUCUAACCAUAACAGGUCUUUCAAUAACAGAUUCAGCAGCCGAUAAAAAUGCAUAAUAAACAUGGUGCUGGAAACCCUCUCUCAAUAAAAAAAAAACCAGAGUUUGAUUCUUGGAGUCACCUAUUUAAAAGAUAAUCCAUUUUUGUAUAAAUUGAAGGAAUAUCUUGUUGCCUGCUAAAAAAAUAGCAUCAUAACAAGUUCAAAAGAUUUAAAGUUGUAAAGAUCACCCUGAACAUUAUAAUAAUAUAAUUUUUUGUAAGGUGGAUGAUGCACACUUUAAAAGAACUAAAUUAAUUUUUUGUUUAAAGUAAACGGAAGAAAAAAUAAAAGAUGAGCGAGAGCGUGAGAGUGGGAGAACGAGCGCGACCUGGUUGGGGUUUCCGACAAUCUUCACGCCGGUUUCUCUCACUGGUGAGGCGCUCUGGGGGGGAAGGGCCAUAUGUCGGGGAGGCAGAAACGGGGAGGGAACAAGGGGAUUGGAUCAGGGUGAGAAACAGAAGAAGGAAAGCAAUGGGACCGUUUCAGGACGGACGGAACGAACAGCAGCAAGGCAAUGGACAAGGAGGGAUGGUUUCUUCAUCGGAAUGCAGAGGUUAUCAGGAUUAUAGGUUUGGUUAUCGCAGUAGGUCAGCUAGAAGAGAAGGGUCACGGUUAACUCCUUCUAGGGUUAGGGUUUUGCAUGGGACUGUUCGCGGAAGGUCGAGGUCCUUACGUUACGGUCGCCCAUUCUCGUGCUCCAGAGAAGAUGUGCCUCGACAGCUGCAUAAUGUUCAUGGAGACAGCCUUAUGGAAUGGAAAGGGAUUAACAGAGGUGUUGAUUCGCGUUUAACAGUGCACAACAGUGGUAACAAUGGUACAACGUCUCAUGUAACGGCGGUGUUCUAUAUUACAAAUUUCCCGAAUCGCCUUUUGUUUGUUGAUUUGAAGAAAGGUUUGGAGGUAUGUGGUAUUUUAUCGGAUGUGUAUCUUUCUCGUUUCCGUAAUUUUCAUGGUCAGCGAUUUGGUUUUGCCAAUUUUUUGAAGGUUCGUGAUGUUUCUAAAUUGAAAAAGGCCCUUAACAAUGUUUUCUUUGGGGACCUUAGAAUGUUUGCGAAUGUGGAAAAAUAUGAUAGAUUUGUUGAUGCUUGUGAGGGUAGUGCUGGAGGAGAGGAGAGGGAUGGUGUUAAGAGGGUUGAGGGAGAAAAAAUGAAGGAGGCCGAGGGAGAAAAAAAUAAAGGAGUUAUGGUGGGAAAAAAUCGAGGGAGUGGGAGGGUGGUAAGGAUGAGUUAAGGGUUAGUUGGAAGUUGGCCUUAUAGAAGGUUAAAGUGGCAGCCAUACGCUGUGAGCUUGAGAGGGAGAAGGAGAGGGUGAUUAAGGUGGGGGAGGUUGAUUGUGGGGGGAAGUUGGCGGCGUCGAGGAAGGAGGAAGGUGCGAAGUUGGAGUCUCCUUCGACGAAGGAGGUUGCUAAACCGAUAUCUUGUGAGGUGGAGGGGAAGGCAUCCGUUAGUGGUAAUAUUGGUUCCGAGGUGAUUAGAGCUUAUUUACCGUAUCAUGAUGAUGUUAUGUGGGCUAACAGAUGUAUUUUGGCCAAGAUUAAGGAUGGUACGUCAUUCAUCGUAAUUCAACAAUCCUUUUUAGAUGCUGGUUUUUCUGAUUUCAAAUUAAUCUCUUUCGGUGGUGAUAAUGUUUUGUUGCACCCGUGUGUCGAAGGUGAUUGUAUGAAUUUAUUUAAAUCCGCGUCGGACCUGAUUGGGAAUUUCUUAUGUGACUGUCGUCCUUGGUCGAAAGAUGCAAGUGUAAUUUAUGAGCGUGGUGCCUGGGUGCGGUGUUAUGGUGUUCCUUUACAUGCUUGGAAUGAUAAUUUCUUUUUAGAGCUAGCCUCAUCUCGAGGAAGGUUACUUAAAAUUGAUGAUGCUACUAUGAAUAAAGAUCGUAUGGAUUUUGCACGUUUCUUGAUAGCAACUACUGAUUUGAACGAGUUAAAUUUUGUUGUUAAUUUUUUGAUUGACGAGCGGGAGUAUCCAAUUCGGCUUAUUGAGGAUUUGGAGUUUGGGUUUGCUGUUGAUGCUUGUUUAGCUGAAUAUGAAGAUGAUAACAAGUCUCAAUGUUCAGGUCCGGUUUGUUUGCAAGAAGAGGAGCCUCUAGUCGAUGCUUUAGUUCAACAAAUGCACGAUGACUGGUUACGCAAGUCUAAUGAGGUUAAGGUAGGGAAUAGUGACAUGGAUAUUUCUAAAUCUGUUAAUGUGAAGGAUGAAUGCUUCGAUGCUAAGAAGAUUUUGUGUUCUCCUCAUACCUCUUUGAUUAAUGUCGAGAAAGCUCCUAUGAAGGUCGUUGAUCAUAUUCGUAAGCCAAGUAAGAAGGGUAGGGUAACGAAAAGGCACAAAGUGGUACCAUCAUUGAUUGGGUUGAAAAAGAUUGCUCGUCUAGCAGAGACCGAUAGGUGUGCCUUGAUUAGAUCGCUGAAAAAAUAUAGAGGUUCGAAAAGAAAAUUGAGGAAGAGUGCUUCUUCUAAAACUUCUUCCAGUACAUCGUCUUGUAACAAAAAUGGUGUAUCUUUGUCAGCGGGUUCAGGAUCUUCAGGUGAUUCCAAAGAUUGGAAAAAUUGGGUAGUCCUUCAUGGGGAAGCAAAGGGGAUGGAGGAUGACGUGGUAGAAGUGGGUAAGUCUAUAGGUGUACGGUGUAAAAAUAAUUUUCAGGCACUAUCUAGAGGAAGUGUGCGUGGAGGUUUCGUAGUUGGUGGGGAGGGGAGGGGGUUGGAGGUGAGGAAGAUGACGGAGGUUUAGGGUGUGUGGGGUCGGUGUGGGGUGUUUUGGUGUGGGAGUUAGUUAUGAAGAUUGUUUCUUUAAAUAUUAGGGGUCUAGGGGCGGUUGAGAAGAGGAGGGAGAUUCGGAGGUUGGUGUUAGAGAGAAAAUCGGCGGUGUUAUGUAUUCAAGAGUCGAAGUUGGAGGUGGUGGAUGAGUUUUUGUGUCGCUCCUUAUGGGGGGCUGAUUUGAUGGCUUAUUCCUUUAAAGCUUCAGUCGGUGCUUCUGGAGGUAUUAUUACGGUGUGGGAUCCUUCUGUGUUGGAUGUCUGGUUGUCAGUAAAUAUUGAUAAUUGUUUGAUUGUUAAAGGCUCCUUUGUAACAAAUAAUGAGGUGUUCUGUUUGGCGAAUAUUUAUGCUUCUUGUGAUAGUAGGGGGCGACAGGUGUUGUGGGAUUCUUUGUCUAAUUUGUUUCCUUUACAUGGGGAAGCGGCUUGGUGUGUUCUUGGUGAUUUUAAUGGUGUUCGUUCUAGUGCUGAAAGAAGAGGUCGCGUGGAGAAUUAUAGUUAUGCCAAUUACAUUCCUUUUAAUCAGUUUAUUGAUGGCAAUUGUCUUAUUGAUUUACCGUUGGUUGGUCACAAUUUUACUUGGUACCGGGGAGAUGGUGUGGCUAUGAGUCGUCUUGAUCGUUUUCUUUUAUCAGAAGCUUGGAUUUCAUUGUUUCCUAAUUGUAUCCAAGCUGCUCUUCCUAGAAGUUUAUCGGAUCAUUGUCCUAUUAUUCUAACUAUGGAUGAGGAAAAUUGGGGGCCUAAACCCCUUCGCAUGUUAAAGUGUUGGGCAGAUGUUCAAGGCUAUGUUGACUUUGUUAAAGAAAAAUGGCAGUCUUAUCAAGUGCAAGGGUGGAGUGGCUUCAUUCUGAAAGAGAAACUUAAAUUUUUGAAAGCUAGUUUACAGAGUUGGCAUUUGAAUCACACUUGUAACAUUGAUAGUAAGAUUAAGGGUGCUAAGGAUCGGUUGGCGGUUUUGGAUGCUGUGGGGGAGACUAGCACGUUGGGUGCUCAAGAGGUGGAAGAGCUUCACUUGUUAGCGGUCGACAUUAUGGUUUUUUCAAAACUUCAGGCUAGUAUGCAUUGGCAAAAAUCAAGAGUUAAUUGGUUGAAGGAAGGUGAUGGUAAUUCCAAAUUUUUCCCUGGCAUUAUGUCCUCACGGAAGAGAUCUAAUUCUUUAAUUUCUUUGUCUGUUGAUGGUGUCACUAUUGAAGGCGUGGAACCUGUGCGCCAAACAGUUUUUCAACACUUUCAAAAUCAUUUUAAGAGGUCUCAACAUGAGCGACCGGACAUAGGAGGUUUGUUGUUCAAGUCUUUAUCACCAGUGGAGGGAGCUGAUCUUAUUAAGCCCUUUUUGUUAGAAGAAAUUAAAGCAGCCGUGUGGGAUUGCGAUAACUUUAAAUGCCCCGGACCAGAUGGUGUUAAUUUGGGUUUCUUCAAAGACUUUUGGGAGGUUUUGAAGAUUGAUGUGCUGAAUUUUUUUGCGGAGUUUCAUCGCAAUGGUAAGUUAACUAAAGGUCUUAAUUCCACUUUUAUUACUUUAAUUCCUAAGGUGGAAUCUCCUCAGCGUGUGGCUGAUUUUAGGCCAAUAUCUUUGGUGAGUAGUGUGUACAAAAUUUUAUCAAAGGUAUUGGCUAAUCGUUUGAGAAGGGUGAUAGGUAAUGUGGUAUCUGAUUCUCAGUCUGCGUUUAUUAAGGGUAGACAAAUUCUUGAUGGUAUUUUGAUUGCAAAUGAAUUAGUCGAUGAUGCAAAGGUCAAAAAGAAAAAGUUACUCAUGUUUAAAGUGGAUUUUGAAAAAGCUUAUGAUUCUGAUGAUUGGGGCUACAUUGAUGAGGUUAUGAUUAAGAUGAAUUUUCCGUGUGUUUGGCGGUCUUGGAUUAUGGAAUGUAUUACAACGGCGACGACAUCUGUGUUAGUUAAUGGGUGCCCGACUGAUGAGUUUAAUCUUGAAAGGGGUCUCCGUCAAGGGGAUCCGCUUUCUCCGUUUUUGUUCCUUUUAGCAGCUGAAGGUUUAAAUGUGAUGAUGUCUGCGUUGGUAACGACUGGGUUGUUCACUCCAUAUGCUAUUGGGGCGCAAGCUAAUGUGAUGGUUUCUCACUUGCAGUUUGCAGAUGAUACUUUAACUAGUAGGAGUUAAGUCUUGGGCAAAUGUCCGGGCUUUGAAGUCUGUUAUGUUAUUAUUUGAAUCUAUAUCCGGGUUGAAGGUUAAUUUCCAUAAGAGUAUGCUUUUUGGCGUGAAUGUAAAUGAUUAUUGGCUUCAUGAGGCAACUGUGGUUAUGCAUUGUAAACACGGACGGAUUCCGUUUCUUUAUUUAGGUUUGCCUAUUGGUGGUGAUCCACGGAAACUUCAAUUUUGGCAGCCCCUUGUUGAGAGGAUUCGUAAUCGUUUAUCUGGGUAGAAAUGUAAGAAUUUAUCUAUGGGUGGUCGGUUGAUUUUACUUAAGUCCGUUCUGUCGUCCAUUCCGGUUUAUUUUCUUUCCUUUUUCAAAGCUCCCUCAUGUAUAAUUUCUACUCUUGACUCUUUAUUUAUUAAUUUCUUUUGGGGUGGUAGUGAGGAUGUGAGGAAAUUGUCUUGGAUUAAAUGAGAUACUGUUUGUUUGAAAAGGGAGAAUGUUGGUUUGGGGGUGAAACGGUUGAAGGAAUUUAAUAUUUCUUUAUUGGGAAAAUGGGUGUGGAGAGUGUUGGAGGAUGGGGAGAGUCUGUGGAAGGCGGUGUUAACUGCGAAGUAUGGAGAGGUUGGAGGGAGGGUGCGGUUUUGUGAGGGGGUGGGAUCGGUUUGGUGGCGUCAUAUAAACCAAAUUCGAUUAGGUGUGGGGCUGUUGGAUUCUAGGUGGUUGGUGGACAAUAUUAUGCGGAAGGUGGGAGAUGGGUGUCACACUCUUUUUUGGGAGGAUACGUGGUUGGAUGAUGUUCCGUUAGCUGUGUCUUUUCCUAGGCUUUUUGAGUUGUCUAAUUUUAAAUUGUCUACGGUGAGGGAGAUGUUUAUGUUAGGUUGGGGGGCUGAAGGGGGUGCGUGGCAGUGGAGGCGUAGAUUAUUUGCGUGGGAGGAAGGUUUGGUGGGGGAAUGUGUGGGGCGGUUGGCUAACUUUGCUUUGCAGGUUGAUGUUUCUAAUAGGUGGGUGUGGAAACUUCACUCGACAAAAUGCUAUUCGGUGUAAUCGGCUUAUUCGUAUUUGACGGAGGUGGAUUCUAACAUUGUUGAAGAUUUCAAUCAAUUUUUAUGGUUGAAAGCAGUUCCGUUGAAGGUUAACAUUUUUGUUUGGCGUCUCUUUCUGAAUAGACUUGCUACAAAAGAUAAUUUGCGUAAAAGAAAUGUAAUUGAUCCCACUCUUACUGCUUGCGCGAUGUUGUGUGGUAAGGAAGAGGAAAGGGAUCAUCUGUUUUUCACUUGUGAUCAUUAUGGGCGACUUUGGCUUUUAAUUUCUCAGUGGCUUGGUAUCGUUACAGCUCUGAAUGGUAAUUUAUACUCUCAUGCUACUCAAUUUUGUGGUCUUGGAGGUUUCUCAAAAAAGUCUAGGACAAGUUUUAGAGUUAUCUGGAUUUCAGUUUUAUUCGUCAUUUGGAAAGAUAGAAACAUGAGAAUUUUUCAGAAUCAUUCUGAUCAUCUUGAAGCUCUUCUUGAAAGGAUUAAACUUCAAACGUUUUGGUGGCUGAAAGCGAAUUACAUUAUGUUUGAUUUUGACUACCCAUUUUGGAGGAACAAUCUUUUACUUUGUAUUCAGACUAUGCUAUAAUGUCUGUUUCUGUUUCUGUUUAUUUGACUGUCUAUCGCCUGUCUCUUUUGUAAUUAACAUUUUUCGGCUUUCUUAGGCAUAUCUUGUGCUUGAAGGGCUGAUUGUUUCUUUAAUAUAUUUUGCUUAGUUUUUUAAAAAAAAAUAAAAUUUGUUUAAAGUAUUGUUUUCGUUGGUGACGUCCUCCUAUCUUAUUUUGCUUAUAUUUAGAGUUUUAGAUGUAUAAUGAACAAGAUCUCUGAUUUAUUAAAAAACUUACUCUACAAAUCUUGAUUUAAACUCAAGUUUGGUGUCUUCUAUGAAAGUAAGUCUUAUGUGACCAUAAACAUUUCGCCACAUUAUUUAAUUAGCUUAGUUUAAGUAUUAGCAAACUAGUAAAUUAGCUUAGUUUAAGCAUUAGUUUUACUUUAAGUCAUAAAGCAUUCCUAAAUUAUAACUAAGUCUUAGUUUUAUUUAAGUCAUUUUCCUCUUUAAGCCUUGAUGGUUGUAUUUAAAAAAGACGUUUCAACACUUUCAAUACUUUCUUAAAAAAAAAAUACUCAUUCAAUACUAUAUAUGAUUUUUAUUUGGGUUAAAUAUGUUUUUGGUUUCUAUAAAUAUAUCAAGUUUUCAUUUUAGUUCCGCUAAAAGUUUCCUUCAACUUUUAGUCCCUAUAAAAUUAUCAAUCACUACUUUUGGUCCUUAUUUUCAAGUUAUUUUUUGUAUUUUUUUACCGAAAUGUGUAGAAUAUUGUAAAAAAAAUUCCCCCAAAAAAUUAGAAUUUUUUAACAAUACAUAAAUUAAAUAUGAAUUUUUAACCGUCAAAAAUAUAAAAAUUCAUAUUAAAUUUAUGUUUUUUUAAAAAAAAAUCUAUUUUUUUAAGAGAUUUUUAUAAUAUUAUAAAUUUUUCUGCUAAAUUUUAUACAAAAUUAUGAAUUUUACUUUAAAAGAGAUUAAAAGUGAAGAUUGAAAAUUUUUUAGGAACUAAAAGUUGAAGGAAAAUUAUAUAGAAUUAUAGAGACUAAAAUUUUUUUAGGGACUAAAAGUUAGUAUAUUUAUAGGGACCAAAAACAUAUUUAACAUUUUUUAUUUUAUAUAUACUUAUAUUUUAAAUCAUUAGAAUUCUACUAUUGAAACUUGAAUUUUAUCAAUCAAUUCCUUCUCAAAAUCAUAUUUUUUUACCGUCUCAUUUAGUAUCAUGAGCCUUCCACCUUGUGUGAUUAUGGCUGCUAAAUACAAACUAAUGAAAACUUUAAUGGUUUUGAAGAAAAGAUGGAAAUGGGUUUAUGUUUUGUGAUCAACAUCUUACUUUGAUGAUAAUCAAUUAAAGCAUAAGAACGUUAAGAUAGUCAUGAGGGAUACCCAUGAAGACAACGUCGAACCUGAAGAAUUCAAAGAUGAACGUUCAUGGAACACGAAAGUGAUGAAUAUGAAUGAAGACGAAGUUUAACUAGAAAGUGAUGGUCUCGAGCACCAUGCGAGUGACCUUUCAGCAGCACGCAACAAUGGAUUGUCACAACCAGAAGAAUACCUUCCAUUGAUUCUUGACCACCAAAGCACAUAAGACCUUCCAGUGAUGGUUUCCAAUGUCGCUAACCGUCCUCCAGCUGUUCGAUGAAAUGCCAAAGUGUCAUAUAGCUGUUUGGAAUGUUAUCAGUAGCUGGUACAUUAUUAAUGAGAUGGAAAAUGUUACUUUUGAUUUGUCUAAAUGCCUAAUUUUCAUAUGUAUUGCUCCUGGUCUAUGAAACACGGACACAACACCGACACUGACACGCCGACACCACUAAUAAUAUGAGAAAAUCACAUAAUUCAGUGUAAUUAUAUGUGUCAGUAUCAAACACAACACAACACGUGUCAGACACCGGGACACACAUAAUCCGAGGAGUGUCCAUGCUUCAUUGCUCUUGGUCAUUACACCCAUAUUCAACAUAUUGCUUUUGCGCUCUUUGGUGUUUUUAAAUUUUGGAAGGCAUGAUCAUGUUGUGGUAAAUUCUCCUGUCAUUAUAUCUUUAUUGAUGAAUGGUAAGUCUGCUCAAAGAGACUUACGUAAAAAUCUCUUGGUGAAGGAGAUUUGGUUGUCCAUCAAUAUCAUUUUAAUCUCUUGCUUUUGGUAUGAACAUUUCCUUAAUUGGGGAAUAAGAAAAUUGUUUGGAAAGACAGCUUGAUCACACUUUCAUGAAGAGGGUAUUGUCACUUCAACGGUGCACGAUGGAAGCACAAUCCUUCACUUUUUCCUUAUUCCCUAUAAUGGAUGCGUGGUCCUUUAGAUGUUUUUGGUGGUGGAAGGGAUUAAUGCCAAUACACUUUUCACUUUCUCUACGAAUGUUGCAACAAUACUUGUGGAAGAAGUCUUGUCUGCAUCUAUGAAAAAAUUUGUUGGAAACAUGGUUGUUGUGUUAAUGCAUCUUGAGAUUUAUUCCUUGAUGAAGCGGGAUCUGAAUAUAAAAUGUAUUUUCCAGUAUCAUGAACAACGCUAUGACGUUUGUUUCAGAAUUAAAGGCUGUGAAAUUCUGAUCUAAAAGUUCUGCCAGGAUAAUAAAAAAUUGGCAAAAUCCAAAUGCAUGUUCCAUUAAUCUUGUGUUGAGCAUUUGUUUUAUCAUUUUAGCCACAAGUCAUGUAAAACAAACACCUUGUUACAUGCUACAAAAUGGAUCAGAUUCACACAUCUCUACUAUUUUGAAACUGCACUGUUGUGAGGCACUGCUAAUCUCCCUUGGAAUCAAACCAGACCAAGCUGCCUGUGCCGAAGUUCAAAGUGUAGGUUUUAUUUCUGAUGUUGCACUAAAUUUGAACAUGCUGGUGAAAAAUUAUGGACUUGUGAUGCUUGGGAAUAAAAAUUUAUGCAUAGUUGAUAAGUUUGACCAUGAUGGAUAUAUGGAUGUGGCAGAAAGAGUAAUUCAAAUUUAUGUACAAUGGUCAAAUAAAUAUAUGUGCAGCAGCCCCCUUUAACUUGGGAUAUUUUGCUAAUCUUUCAAGAAACAAAGUUGGUAGCUGUGUUACAUAGGAAAGUGGUUGAUAGGGGAACUAUUGUUGUUUCUCAAAUUAUGUUCAAAUGGAGGAAUUUGCCUCCUAAGCAUGAUACUUGAAUUUUUGCUGCUAAUAUUGACCCUGUUAUGGCUAUUCUUACAUCGGAAAAUGAUCAAUUGGAAGUGUCUCUGCUCUUAAAGUUCUAAUCAAAUGGAAAACUUUGCCUCUUAAACAUGGCACUUGUGAUUAUUCAUCCUUGAGGACGAGGAUGUUUGAAGGGGAGGGUAUUGUUACAGGAAUGAAGUAUUAGUGAGUUAACUUAUUCUAAGUAUUUGUUUUACUUUAAAUCAUUUACUCUUUUAGCCUUGAUGGUUGUAUUUAAGAAGGCAUUGUGCCUCAUUUGGUAAUCAAUCAAAUAUUUCAACAAUUAUCUUCUUCUCUCUAAAACCCUAAAACUCAUUCAAU